AACGAUACAAAGUAUGGCAGUACUCCCGAACAAUCUGCACCAGUACUGGGGACAUCAGGGUUAUCUCGCCACUACUAGUAUUGAAGCAAUUACGUACAUCCUUCGUUCUGAGAUAUUAAGAAAUCUGAAUGAUAACGAUGUGCUCGAGAAUCCCCUGGAGCUCAACUCCCCUGAAACUCAAAGCAGAUAGGAGGCACCAAGACAGAACUCCGUCACAUCGGCAUCAUAUAGAUUCCAAAAAUAUCCGCGUGAUCCUAAAAAAAAUUGAGUGAGAAGAGGAGUAGAAUAACUUAUUACGUCAAGAUUCCUCACCACAGCAUAGAAGAGGAGAAAAAAGAAUCCUACUCUCCGAUAUAUAACUAGACUCAAAGCAGUUUUUCACUAGACUCGACUCGGCCAAGUUUGAUCAAUCAAGGGGGCUCCUAGGUGGGUACUGCUCUGAUACCAACUUGUCAUGCCCAAGAUGCGACCCUAUCCUCAAUUUGGCACGAAGGCCUCGUCAGGGAUAGAAGCGCNNNNNNNNNNNNNNNNNNNNNNNNNNNNNNNNNNNNNNNNNNNNNNNNNNNNNNNNNNNNNNNNNNNNNNNNNNNNNNNNNNNNNNNNNNNNNNNNNNNNNNNNNNNNNNNNNNNNNNNNNNNNNNNNNNNNNNNNNNNNNNNNNNNNNNNNNNNNNNNNNNNNNNNNNNNGUAUAUAUAUAAUUGGCUUACACUCGCCACAAGCUGCAUCACAGUCACAGCAGUACAAUACAUAAUCAUCACGAAUAAGAGCAGGGUCUGACUACGGACGAAAACAAACGAGAAAAGAAGAACGGCGUCCAUCCUUGCUAUCCCAGGCUGCCGGCCUGGAACACAUCCUAGAUCGAAGAAGAAGAAGAAGAAGAAGAAGAAGCAACUCCAAAUGAACAAUCAACGUGCUCGCGUCAAGUAACCUGUACCUGUACCUGCAACUGGUGUUGUAGUAAUCUGUGAGCCACAGGUGACUCAGCAAUCUCAUUUCCAAAGGUAUCAAGACUAGCAAAGCUUAUUAGGUGAGGCAUGGUUAAGUGGUGAGGUUGUGGUAGCGGCUAAGCAUAUAUAUAUGGUGGCUAACUUACGAGUACAAGAAAUAAGAGAGGGAAGAUCUAAGCAUAACGGACGUGAACUACUGAUGAUCAAAUGAAUGAUCCUGAACACCUACCUACGGUAGACAUAACCCCACCGUGUCCUCGAUCGGAGAAGGAACUCACGAAAGAGACAGUCACGGUUACGCACAUAGUUGGCAAGUUUUAAUUAAGUUAACUUCAAGUUAUCUAGAACCAGUGUUAAACAAAGUUUCCACGUUGCCACAUAACCGCAGGCACGGCUUUCCGAAAGAUUUAACCCUGCAGGGGUGCUCCAACUAGUNNNNNNNNNNNNNNNNNNNNNNNNNNNNNNNNNNNNNNNNNNNNNNNNNNNNNNNNNNNNNNNNNNNNNNNNNNNNNNNNNNNNNNNNNNNNNNNNNNNNGGGGGGGGGGGGUCGGACCCUUCGAUCACGAUCGGACGACUCCGAUCGCGGGGUUAGGCUAGGUGCAUUGGGUGGGCUAUAUUGGUGGUGUUGGGUUGAUAUGAUUGAGAGGUCUGCGGUCCAGCAGCGGAAUUUUUAAAAAUGAAUCGUCUGCGAUUUAAAUCAGCUAUAGUGCCGCUAUACGUUUAACGAUUCGGUGUCAAACGACCUCCGAAUGCGAGGGAAUUUGGGAGGUGGUCUACCUACACUAUAUGAAAACCGCGCGCCAACUUUCAACCCAUUCAUAGAAAUUUUUAUACACACUUUUAAAAACAAUAUUUUUUCGAUGCACGGGUGCGUGUGUGUGUUGUUGGUCACGGAACGGUCAACGACAAGAAUGGAGAGAGCCGGCAACUACAGACGGAUGCAAGUUUUGAAAAAAUGAUAUCGAUGGAGUGCUGAGGCUUUGUAGAUGAUUCGAAUGAUGCGAUGAUGANNNNNNNNNNNNNNNNNNNNNNNNNNNNNNNNNNNNNNNNNNNNNNNNNNNNNNNNNNNNNNNNNNNNNNNNNNNNNNNNNNNNNNNNNNNNNNNNNNNNNNNNNNNNNNNNNNNNNNNNNNNNNNNNNGAAUGAUGCGAUGAUGAAUGCGACAACCAAAUGGAACACACGGAGAAACUCCAAAUAACCAGAAGACAUCUGGAGCGGCGGUCUGAGGGUGUUACACAGGAGCCACGAGGUGGCCCCUAGCCAUUAGGGCAUGCCUAGGGGGGUGGGCACACCCUGUUGGCUUCGGAGCAAUAGGUGGCCCCCGUGUGAUGGGUCUUGGCUCCAUUUGAUAUUUCAGAAAAAAUUCACAAAUUUUUUUGUUCGAUUUUGAUAAUUUUUAUUUAUGCACAAAAACAACACCUUGGCAGUUCUGCUUAAAACAGGGUUAGUCCUGGUUAGUUUCAUUCAAAUCAUGCAAAUUAGAGUCCAAAACAAGAGCAAAAGUGUAUGGAAAAUUAGACAUGUUUGGGAUGUACCAACUCCCCCAAGCUUAACUCAUUGCUUGUCCUCAGGCAAUUCAGUUCAUAAACUGAAAGUGAUAAAGAAAACUUCUACAAACUUCUUUGUUCUUGUUUCCAUAUAUAUGCUUAACUAGUGUUCAGGUCUUCGGCAUAAAUCAUAAAUAACCAUAUCCAUGAUAACAAUUAAACAUCAUAUUCACUAAUGACAAUAAAUAGCCAACUAGCAAGAAUAAUAAAAUAUCUCACAUGCCAACAAUUUGUCAAAACAAUCAUGAUAUAAUAUGAUGAUAUGAUAUCUCGCCAGUCCUUUCCGAGACCACAAAANNNNNNNNNNNNNNNNNNNNNNNNNNNNNNNNNNNNNNNNNNNNNNNNNNNNNNNNNNNNNNNNNNNNNNNNNNNNNNNNNNNNNNNNNNNNNNNNNNNNGACUCUUUUCUGGCGCCAUUGGCGGGGAGUGAAGCAUCUUUGGUAAGGGAAAAUUUAUAUUACAUGCUGAAAUUUACUACUACUUGUCACUGUGGAAAGUAAUCCUUUCAGGGGUUUGUUCGGGAUAUUUUCACCUCGACCGGAAACACCAAGAGUUGUCCCUCAACCUGCUNNNNNNNNNNNNNNNNNNNNNNNNNNNNNNNNNNNNNNNNNNNNNNNNNNNNNNNNNNNNNNNNNNNNNNNNNNNNNNNNNNNNNNNNNNNNNNNNNNNNNNNNNNNNNNNNNNNNNNNNNNNNNNNNNNNNNNNNNNNNNNNNNNNNNNNNNNNNNNNNNNNNNNNNNNNNNNNNNNNNNNNNNNNNNNNNNNNNNNNNNNNNNNNNNNNNNNNNNNNNNNNNNNNNNNNNNNNNNNNNNNNNNNNNNNNNNNNNNNNNNNNNNNNNNNNNNNNNNNNNNNNNNNNNNNNNNNNNNNNNNNNNNNNNNNNNNNNNNNNNNNNNNNNNNNNNNNNNGGGGGGGGGGGAAUCAUUUACAUGGUAUAUGCUAUGUGAUGAUACAUGAUCUUGGAAUUGAAAUCGAUUGCAAUUGGAGUUUUGCAAAAAAUAUUAUCCUAUGCAUCUUGUUCAUCGUGAUCGGAAUUUUAUCUAUAAUUUCUGGCCUCAUGAAGGAUAAAAUAUCGCUCUAGCUUUGGGGAGGCUGAAGUCUAUGUUAUAUUCAUGCCCNNNNNNNNNNNNNNNNNNNNNNNNNNNNNNNNNNNNNNNNNNNNNNNNNNNNNNNNNNNNNNNNNNNNNNNNNNNNNNNNNNNNNNNNNNNNNNNNNNNNNNNNNNNNNNNNNNNNNNNNNNNNNNNNNNNNNNNNNNNNNNNNNNNNNNNNAUGUUAUAUUCAUGCCCCAACCAUGAGCUCUUGAGAGAAAUUAUCGUUCAUAAUUUUUAUGCUCCGUUUUCUCGUAAUGAUCAAACCAUGCUCGAUACUUCUUGCUCUGGUUCAUUUAUCAAGAAGACUAUUGAAUUUAGGUGGGAUCUCAUAGAAAGAAUUAAAGGCAACUCUGAAGAUAGGGAGCUCGAUUAAGGUAAAUUUUCAGGUAUAAAACCAAAGUUUGAUUGUGCUAAAUCUUUUAUGAAUACUGAUGCUUUCAAUGAUUUUUGCACUAAGUAUGGACUUGACUCUGAGAUAUUAGCCUCAUUCUGUGAAACCUUGGUUGGAGAACGUCGCAUGGGAAACAAAAAAUUCCCUACGAACACGAAGACCUAUCAUGGUGAUGAUCAUCUAUGAGAGGGAUAUCGUAUCCACAUACCCUUGUAGAUCGCUAAGCGGAAGCGUUAAUAAACGCAGUUGAUGUAGCGGUACGUCUUCACAAUCCGUCCCACGAACCGUCUCACGAUCCGUCCCACGAACCGUCUCACGAUCCGUCCCGAUCAAGUGCUGAACGGACGACACCUCUGUGUUCCGCACACGUACAACUCGAUGAUGAUUUCUGUCUUAGUGGGAACUUAUUACAGCCCACUAAGGGCUGGUUUAUCUCUUCCCACAACCCAUAAGGCCCCUUGGGGCGUGACACCCCUCUCGAUGGUCCCCGGCACCCCUCCCGGCACUCCCAGUACACUACCGAUGAGCCCAAAACUUUUCUGAUGACCAAAACAGGACUUCCUAUAUACCAUUCUUCAUUUCCAGACCAUUUCGGAAACCCUCAUGAUGUCCAGGAUAUCAUCUGGGACUCCGAACAACCUUCGGUCACCAACACAUAUAACUCAACUAUACCGAAACAUCACCGAACCUUAAGUCUGCAGACCAUGCGGGUUCGAGAACUAUACAGACAUGACCUGAGACACCCCCCGGUCAAUAAACAACAACAGGACCUGGAUGUCCAUAUUGGCUCCUACAUAUUCUACGAAGAUCUCUAUCGGUUGAACCUCUAUGUCAAGGAUUCAUAUAGUCCCGUAUAGUAUUCCCUUUGUCCUUCGGUAUGUUACUUGCCCGAGAUUCGAUCGUCGGUAUCUCCAUACCUAGUUCAAUCUUGUUACCAGCAAGUCUCUUUACUCGUUCCGUAAUAGAACAUCCCUUGACUAACUCCUUAGUCACAGAGCUUGCAAGGCUUGUUGUGAUGCUGUAUUACCGAGUGGGCCCCGAGAUACCUCUCCGUCACACGGAGUGACAAAUCCCAGUCUUGAUCCAUGCCAACCCAACAAAAACCUUUGGAGAUACCUGUAGACCACCUUUAUAGUCACCCAGUUACGUUACGAUGUUUGAUACACACAANNNNNNNNNNNNNNNNNNNNNNNNNNNNNNNNNNNNNNNNNNNNNNNNNNNNNNNNNNNNNNNNNNNNNNNNNNNNNNNNNNNNNNNNNNNNNNNNNNNNNNNNNNNNNNNNNNNNNNNNNNNNNNNNNNNNNNNNNNNNNNNNNNNNNNNNNNNNNNNNNNNNNNNNNAUGAUCUCAUGGUCAUAGGAACACAUAUACUGACAUGCAUAAAAACAGUAGCAAUAAACUGACACGAUCAUACGCUACGUUUAUAGUUUGGGUCUUGUCCAUCACAUCAUUCUUCCAAUGAUGCGAUCCUGUUAUCAAGUGACAACACUUGCCUAUGGCCAGGAAACCUUGAUCAUCUUUGAUCAACGAGAGAGUCAACUAGAGGCUCACUAGGGACAAUGUGUUGUCUAUGUAUCCACACAUGCAUUUGAGUUUCCAAUCAAUACAAUUCUAGCAUGAAUAAUACACGAUUAUUAUGAACAAGGAAAUAUAAUAAUAACCAUUUUAUUAUUGCCUCUAGGGCAUAUUUCCAACAGUCUCCCACUUGCACUAGAGUCAAUAAUCUAGUUCACAUCUCUAUGUGAUUGUAAUGAAUUUAACACCCAUACAGUUAUGGGGUUUGAUCAUAUCUUGCUUGUGGCAGAUGUUUUUAGUCAACGGGUCUGAACCUUUCAAAUGUGAGUGUGCUUUACAAACCUCUAUGUCAUCCUAUAGGUGCUGCUACCAAUGUGCCAUUUUGGAACUAUUCCAAAUUACUGCUCCACUAUACGAAUCCGAUUUACUCCUUAGAGUUACUCGGAUUAGUGUCAAAGCUUGGAUCGACGUAACCCUUUAGGAUGAACUCUUUAAUCACCUCCAUAAUCGAGAAAAAUUCCUUAGUCCAUUAGUUACUAAGGAUAACUUUGACCGUUGUUCAGUGAUUCAAUCCUGGAUCACUCUUUGUACCCCUUAAUAGACUUAUGGCAAGGCACACAUCAGGUGCGGUACACAACAUGGCAUACUUUAGAGCCUAGGGCUAAGGUAUAGGGAUGACCUUCAUCCUUUCUCUUUCUUCUGCCGUAAUCGGGCUUUGAGUCUUACUCAAAUUCACACCUUACAACACAGCCAAGAACUCCUUCUUUGCUGAUCUAUUUUGAACUCCUUCAAAAACUUGUCAAGGCAUGCAUUUCAUUGAAAGUUCUAUUUACCGUUUUGAUCUAUCUCUAUAGAUCUUGAUGCUCAAUGUUCAAGUAGCUCUAUCCAGGUUUUCCUUUGAAAAACUCCUUUCAAACAACCCUUUAUGCUUUCCAGAAAUUCUACAUUACUUCCAAUCAAGAAUAUGUCAACCACAUAUACUUAUCAGAAAUUCUAUAGUGCUCCCACUCACUUCUUUGGAAAUACAAGUUUCUCAUAAACCUCGUAUAAACCCAAAAGCUUUGAUCAUCUCAUCAAAGCAUAUAUUCCAACUCCGAGAUGCUUGCACGAGUCCAUAGAAGGAUGCUAGAGCUUGCAUACUUGUUAGCAUCCUUAGGAUCGACAAAACCUUCUGGUUGUAUCACAUACAACCUUUCCUCAAGGAAAGUCUCAUCAUAGUCAACUCUUUGAACUUGUUGGGAACAUAUUUGCCAUAAGUCGAGCUUUUCUUAAUGGUGACUUUUCACCAUCAUCAUCUUUCUUCCUUUUAAAGAUCCAUAUAUACUUGAUAGUCUUACGACCAUCAAGUAGUUCUUCCAAAGUCUAUACAUUGUUUUAUACAGGGAUCCUCUCUCGGAUUUCAUGCCCUCCAGCCAUUUGCCGGAAUCCGGGCCCACCAUCGCUUCUUCAUAGCUCGUAGGUUCAUUGUUGUUCAACAACAUGAUCUCCAAGACAGGGUUACCAUACUACUCUAUAGCAGUACGCAACCUUGUCGACCUACGGGGUUUGUAGUAACUUGAUCUGAAGCUUAAUGAUCACCAUCAUCAGUUUCCACUUCAAUUGACGUAGGCGCCACAGAACAACUUCCUGCGCCCUUCUACACACUGGUUGAAGUGAUGGUUCAAUAACCUCAUCAAGUUCCACCACCCUCCCACUCAAUUCUUUCGAGAGAAACCUUUCCUCGAGAAAGGACCCGUUUCUAGAAACAAACACUUUGCUUCCGGAUCCGAGAAAGGAGACGUACCCAACUGUUUUGGAUAUCCUAUGAAGAUGCAUUUAUCUGCUUUGGGUUCGAGCUUAUCAGACUGAAACUCUUUCACAUAAGCGUCAUAGCCCCAAACUUUCAAGAAACGACAGCUUAGGUUUCUCCAAACCAUAGUUCAUACGGUGCCAUCUCAAUGGAAUUACGUGGUGCUCUAUUUGAAGUGAAUGCGGUUGUCUCUAAUGCCUAACCCAAAACGAUAGUGGUAUUUCGAUAAGAGACAUCAUAGUAUAUAUGCGCUAUAUCCAAUAGGGCAUGGCUAUGACGUUCGGACACACCAUCACACUAUGGUGUUCUAGGUGACAUGAAUUGCGAAACAAUUUCCACAUUGUCUUAACUGUGUACCAAAACUCGCAACUCAGAUAUUCAUCUCUAUGAUCAUAUCAUAGACAGUUUAUCCUCUUGUCACGACGAUCUUCACUCUGACAUAGCUUUGAACUUUUCAAUAUUUCAGACUUGUGAUUCAUCAAGUAAAUACUCCUCUAUAUACUCAAAUCGUCAGUGAAGUAAGAACAUAACGAUAUCCACUGCGUGCCUCAACAUUCAUUGGACUACACACAUCAAAAAUGUAUUACUCCAACAAGUUACUUUCUUGUUCCAUCUCACUCGAAAAAAGAGGCCUUUAGUCAUCUUGCCCAUGUGGUAUGAUUUGCAUGUCACAAGUGAUUCAAAAUCAAGUGAGUCCAAACGAUCUAUCUGCAUGGAGUUUCUUCAUGCGUUUAUACCAAUAGGUAUGGCUUGCAUGUCUCAAACGUUUCAAAAGUGAGUGAGUACAAAGAUCUAUCAGCAUGGUGCUUCUUCAUGCAUUUUAUUCCAACAUGACUCAAGUGGCAGUGCCACAAGUAAGUGGUACUAUCAUUACUACUUUGUAUCUUUUGGCAUCAAUAUUAUGAACAUGUGUAGCACUACGACCGAGAUUCAAUAAACCAUUGAAGGUAAUUAUUCAAGCAAAUAGAAUAACCAUUAUUCUCUUUAAAUGAAUAAUCGUAUUGCAAUAAACACGAUCCAAUCAUGUUCACGCUCAACACAAACAACAAAUAACAAUUAUUUAGGUUUAACACCAAUCCCGAUGGUAGAGGGAGCGUGCGAUGUUUGAUCACAUCAACCUUAGAAUUACUUCCAACACACAUCGUCACCUCACCCUUGCUAGUAUCCUUUUAAUCCGUAGCUAUAACUUCGAGUUACUAACACUUAGCAACUGAACCGGUAUGUAAUACCCUGGUGCUACUAGGAAUACCAGUAAGGUACACAUCAAUAUCAGGUAUAUCCAAUAUACUUUUGUCGACUUUGCCAGCCUUCUCAUCUACCGAGUAUCUAGGGUAGUUCCGCCUCAGUGACCGUUUCCCUCAUAACAUAAGCACUUAGUCUCGGGUUUGGGUUCAACCCUGGGUCUCUUCACUAGAGCAGCAACUGUUUUGCCGUUUCAUAAAGUAUCCCUUCUUACCCUUGCCCUUUCUUGAAACUACUGGUUUUCCUAACCAUCAACAAUUGAUGCUCCUACUUGAUUUCUACUUUCGCGGUGUCAAAUAUUGCGAAUAGCUCAAGGAUCAUCAUAUGUAUCCUUGAUAUGUUAUACUUCAUCACGAAGCUCUAGUAGCUUGGUGGCAGUGACUUUGGAGAACCAUCACUAUCUCAUCUGAAAGAUCAACUCCCAAUCGAUUCAAGCGAUUGUAGCACUCAGACAAUCUGAGCACAUGCUCAACGAUUGAGCUUUUCUCCCUUACUUUGUAGACAAAGAAUCUUGUCGGAGGUCUCAUACCUCUUAACAAGGAUACGAGCAUGAAAUCCCAAUUUCAUCUCUUGGAACAUCUCAUAUGUUCUUGGACGUUUUCAAAACGUCUUCGGCGCCCCAAUUCUAAGUUGUUAAGAAUUACGAACUGAACUAUCACGUAGUCAUCAAAAACGUGUAUGUCAGAUGUUCGCAACAUCCACAGACGAAGCUCGAGGUUCAGCACACUGAGCAGUGCAUUAAUGACACAAGCCUUCUGCGCAACAAUGAGGACAAUCCUCAGUUCACGGACUAAGUCCGCAAAAUUGCUACUUAUCAUCUUUCAACUAAAUUUUCUCUAGGAACAUAUAAAAACAGUAGAGCUACAACGCAAGCUACAACAUAAUUUGCAAAGACCUUUUUGACUAUGUUCAUGAUAGUUGAGUUUAGCUAGUCAUAUUACUAAUAACUCCCAUUCAAAAUAGACAUCCCUCUAGUCAUUUGAGUGGCGCAUGAUCCAAAUCCACUAACUCAAGUCCGAUCAUCACGUGAGUUGAGUAUAGUUUCAGUAGUUAACAUCUCCAUGUUGAUCAUAUCAACUAUAUGAUUCAUACUCGACCUUUCGGUCUCUUGUGUUCCGAGGCGAUGUCUGUACACGCUAAGCUCGUCAAGUUUAACCUGAGUGUUCCGCGUGUGCAACUAUUUUGCACCCGUUGUAUGUGAACGUUGAGUCUAUCACACCCGAUCAUCACGUGGUGUCUCAAAACGACGAACUGUCGCAAUGGUGCACAGUCGGGGAGAACACAAUUUUAUCUUGAAAUUUUAGUGAGGGAUCACCUUAUAAUGCUACUGUCAUUCUAAGAAAAAUAAGGUGCAUGAAAAGGAUUAACAUCACAUGCAAUUCAUAAGUGGCAUGAUAUGGCAAUGAUCUUGUGCGUCUUGAUCUCCAUCACCAAAGCACCGGCAUGAUCUUCAUCGUCACCGACGCCACACCAUGAUAUCCAUCAUCGUGCCGCCAUCGAGGUUGUCGUGCUAUCUAUGCUAUUACUACUAAAGCUACAACCUAGUAAUAUAGUAAACGCAUCUGCAAGCACAAACGUUAGUUUAAAGACAACCCUAUGGCUCCUGCCGGUUGCCGUAGCAUCGACGUGCAAGUCGAUAUUUAACUAUUACAACAUGAUCAUCUCAUACAUCCAAUAUAUCAUAUUAUGUCUUUAGACAUACCACAUCACAUGCACACCGUGCAAAAACAAGUCAGACGUCCUCUAAUUUGUUGUUGCAUGUUUUACAUGGCUGCUAUGGGUAUCUAGUAUGAUCGCAUCUUACUUACGCAAAGCCACAACGGUGAUAUGCAAUUUUCUUUUUAACCUUCUCCAAGGACCGCCUCGGUCAAAUCCGAUUCAACUAAUGUUGAAGAAAUAGACACCCGCCAGUCAUCUUUAUGCAACAAGUUGCAUGUUAGUCGAUGAAACCGGUCUCUCGUAAGCGUACGAGUAAGGUUCGUCCGGGCCACUUAAAUCCAACAAUACCUCCGAAUUGAGAAAAUACUAAGGAGAGCAGCAAAAAGAACAUCAACACCCACAAACUUUUUUGUGUUCUACUCGAGAUAUCAUCUACGCAUGAACCUAGCUCAUGAUGCCACUGUUGGGGAACAUCGCAUGGGAAAUAAAAAAAUUCCUAUGCACACGAAGACCUAUCAUGGUGAUGAUCAUCUACGAGAGGGAGAUCGGAUCCACAUACCCUUGUAGAUCGCUAAGGGGAAGCGUUAAUAAUGUGGUUGAUGUAGUGGUACGUCUUCACGAUCCGUCCCACGAACCGUCCCACGAUCCGUCCCACGAACCGUCCCACGAUUCGUCCCACGAACCGUCUCACGAUCCGUCCCGAUCAAGUGCCGAAUGGACGGCACCUCUGCGUUCCGCACACGUACAUCUAGAUGACGAUCUGUGCAUUCUUCAUCUAGAAAGAGGGGGCGGAGAGGUAGAUGAGUUCUCCAGCACAGCGGUGUGGUUGUUGCGGUGGUGCUAUUCUAGUAGGGCUUCCCCUAAGCACGACUGAAACUAGAGGAGGAACAUAUCUAGAGAGAGAGGGAAGCACGUGGCUGUUUUCUGUUGUGUCUAAAACCCUCAAAACCCUUAGUAUAUAUAGGAGGAGCGGAGGGAGAGGGCUGCGCCCUAGGUCUACCUCUUUGAUCCCUUGCGCAUGGGAGAGGAGGAGGAGUCCUACUCCAAUCCUAUUUGGCAUAGGAUUCCUCCUUCCCACUUGGAAACUCUUUCCACCUUGUUUUUUGACCUUCUCAAACCUUAUGAGACUUAGUGGGAACUUAUUACAGCCCACUAGGCGCUGGUUUAUCUCUUCCCACAGCCCAUGAGGCCCCUUGGGGCGUGACACCCCUCCCGAUGGUCCCCGGCACCCCUCCCGGCACUCCCGGUACACUGCCGAUGAGCCCAAAACUUUUCCGGUGACCAAAAUAGGACUUCCUAUAUAUGAAUCUUCGUUUCCGGACCAUUCCGGAAACCCUCGUGAUGUCCGGGAUCUCAUUCAGGACUCCGAACAACCUUCAGUCACCAACACAUAUAACUCAACUAUACCAAAACGUCACCGAACCUUAAGUGUGCAGACCCUGUGGGUUCGAGAACUAUGCAAACAUGACCCGAGACACUCCCCGGUCAAUAACCAACAGCGGGACCUGGAUGUCCAUAUUGGCUCCUUCAUAUUCUAAGAAGAUCUCUAUCGAUUGAAGCUCUAUGUCAAGGAUUCAUAUAAUCCCGUAUACUAUUCCCUUUGUCCUUCGGUAUGUUACUUGCCCGAGAUUCGAUCGUCGGUAUCUCCAUACCUAGUUCAAUAUUAUUACCGGCAAGUCUCUUUACUCGUUCCGUAAUACAAGAUCCCGUGACUAACUCCUUAGUCACAUUACUUGCAAGGCUUGUUGUGAUGUUGUAUUACCGAGUGAUCCCCGAGAUACCUCUCCGUCACACGGAGUGACAAAUCCCAGUCUGGAUCCAUGCCAACCCAAUAGACACCUUUGGAGAUACCUGUAGAGCACCUUUAUUGUCACCCAGUUACGUUGCAAUGUUUGAUACACACAAGGCAUUCCUCCGGUGUCCGAGAUUUGCAUGAUCUCAUGGUCAUAGGAAUAAAUACAUUGACAUGCAGAAAAACAGUAGCAAUAAACUGACACGAUCAUACACUACGUUUAUAGUUUGGGUCUUGUCCAUCACAUAAUUCUCCCAAUGAUGUGAUCCCGUUAUCAAGUGAAAACACUUGCCUAUGGCCAGGAAACCUUGACCAUCUUUGAUCAACGAGCUAGUCAACUAGAGGCUCACUAGGGACAGUGUGUUGUCUAUGUAUCCACACAUGUAUUUGAGUUUCCAAUCAAUACAAUUCUAGCAUGGAUAAUAAAUGAUUAUUAUGAACAAGGAAAUAUAAUAAUAACCAAUUUAUUAUUGCCUCUAGGGCAUAUUUCCAACAACCUUUGCUGCUCAUGUUGAUAUCCUAAAGAGAAAUGGUUUAAAUAUCAUCCACCUAUUAAAGAAAAAUUUGAAGUACCAACUAAAGUUGAGGCUGAAACUAUCAUUUACAAUGUUGACUCAGUUGGGCCUAGUGCUUAUAUUGAGAAACCACCUUUGCCUGUUAGGAUAAAGGAACAUGCUAAAGCUUCAACCGUGGUUAAUAAAGGUUAUGUUAGAAAAAACAAAACCUGUGAGCAAAUCAAGGUAGAACCUAGUACUGCUAUGGUUAAAUAUCUCUUGGUAGACAAUAUUGACAAGCAUGUUAUUUGUUUUUGUAAUGAGGCUGCUAGAAUUGCUAUACGUGAUACUAAAGAUAAGAAUAGAUGUGUUGUUGGCAUGCCUGUCGUUUUAGUAAAAAUAGGAGAUCAUUGCUAUCAUGGUUUAUGUGAUAUGUGUGCUAGUGUUUGUGCUAUCCCUUUACCUUAUAUCAAGAAAUUAUGCAUGAGAUAGCACCCGUUGAGAUAGCAGACAUAGAUGUUUCUAUUAAACUUGCCAAUAGAGACACCAUCACACUACUUGGGAUUGUUAGAGAUGUUGAACUCUUGUGUGGAAAAUUAAAAUACCAUACUGAUUUUCUAGUACUUGGCUCACCACAAGAUAAUUUUUGUCCCAUAAUAUUUGGUAGACCCUUCUUGAACAUUGUCAAUGCUCAAAUAGAAUGCAAAAAAGGAAAUUGUGAGUGUUUAUUUUGGUGGUAUGUCUCAUGAGUUUGCCUAUUGAAGAUGAAGUAAUUGUUCUUUCUUAUAUUUCCAUUCCUCCUACGGAUCAAUUAGAACAAUAUUUGCUAGACCAUGAAAAUGAUAUGCAUAUGCGUGAAAUAAAUGAAUUAAAUAAUAUGGUCUUUGAGCAAAAACCUAUUCUUAAACACAACUUUCAUGUUGAAACUCUAGGGGGUCCUCCUCCACCCAAGGGUGAUCUUGUGUUUGAGCUAAAGCAAUUAAUUGACACUUUGAAAUAUGCUUAUAUAUCUUGAUGAAAAGAAGGUAUACCAUGUUAUUAUCAGUGCUAACCUUAGAGAGCAUGAAGAAAAAAAAUUGUUAAUUUUUUAAUAAGCACCAAGCCGCUAUUGGGUAUACUCUUGAUGAUCUUAAGGGCAUUAGUCCCACUCUUUGUCAGCACAAGAUUAAUACGGAACCACAUGCUAAAUCUGUUGUUAAUCACCAACGAAGACUAAAUCCCAAAAUGAAAGAAGUGGUCAGAAAUGAAAUACUAAAUCUUCUGGAAGCAAGUAUAAUUUAUCCCAUAGCUGAUAGUAGAUGGGUAAGUCCCGUUCAUUGUGUUCCUCAGAAAGGAGGUAUUACUGUUCUUCCUAAUGAUAAAAAUGAACUCAUUGCAUAAAGAAUUGAUUUUAGAAAAUUAAACAAAACUACUAGAAAAGAUCAUUAUCCUUUACCUUCCAUAGACCAAAUGCUAGAAAGGUUAUCGAAGCACACACAUUUUUUCUUUCUAGAUGGUUAUUCUGCUUUCUCUCAAAUACCUGUGUCACAACCUCAUCAAUUAAAAACAGCUUUACUUAUCCUUUUGGAACCUAUGCUUAUAGAUGUGUGCCUUUUGGAUUAUGCAAUGCACCUGCUACCUUUCAAAGAUGUAUGAGUGCUAUAUUCUAUGAUUUUUGUGAAAACAUUGUUGAGGUCUUCAUGGAUGAUUUUUCCGUUUACGGAACCUCUUUUGAUAAUUGAUUAAGCAACCUUGAUUGCGUUUUGCAGAGAUGUGAGCAAACUAAAUUUGUCUUGAAUUGGGAUAAGUGCCACUUUAUGGUGAAUGAAGGUAUUAUCUUGGGUCAUAAAACUUUCGAGCAAGGUAUUGAGGUGGAUAAGGCUAAAGUUGAUGCAGUUGAGAAGAUGCCAUGUCCUAAGUAUAUUAAAGGUAUUCGUAGUUUCCUUGGUCAUGCUGGUUUCUAUAGGAGGUUUAUUAAAUACUUCUCUAAAAUUUCUAGGCCUCUUACUAAUUUAUUACAAAAGUAUGUUCCUUUCGUUUUUGAUGAUGAUUGUGUAGAAGCUUUUGAAACUCUUAAGAAAGCCUUAGCUUCUGCACCUAUUGUUCAACCACCUGAUUGGAACUUGCCUUUUGAAAUUAUGUGUGAUGCUAGUGAUUAUAUUGUUGGUGUUGUUCUAGGACAAAGAGUUGAUAAGAAAUUAAAUGUUAUCCAUUAUGCUAGUAAAACUCUAAACAGUGCCGAGAGAAAUUAUGCUACCACUGAAAAAUAAUUCUUAGUAGUUGUAUUUGCUUGUGAUAAAUUUAGAUCUUACAUUGUUGAUUCUAAGGUAAUUGUUCACACUGAUCAUGCUGCUAUUAAAUAUCUUAUGGAAAAUAAAGAUGCUAAGCCUAGACUUAUUAGGUGGGUUCUCUUGCUACAAUAAUUUGAUUUGAAUAUCAUUGAUAGGAAAGGAGCUGGGAACCCCGUAGCUGAUAACUUGCCUAGGUUAGAAAAUUUUCUUGAUGACCCACUAUCUAGUGAUGAUAGUUUUCCUGAUGAACAACUAGCUAUGGUCAAUGUUUCUCAUAAUACACCAUGGUUUGCUGAUUAUGCUAAUUACAUUGUUGCUAAACACAUACCACCUAGUUUCACCUAUCAACAAAACAAAAAACCCUCUUUGAUUUAAUACAUUACUUUUGGGAUGACCCACAUCUUUAUAAAGAGGGAGUAUAUGGUAUUAUUAGACGUUGUAUACAUGAGCAUGAACAAGAACAAGUCCUUCAUAAGUGUCACUCCGAGGCUUAUGGAGGACACCAUGCGAGAGAUAGAACUGCACACAAGGUAUUACAGUAUGGAUUUUAUUGGCCUACUCUGUUCAAAGAUGCUCGUGAGUUUGUCCUCUUUUGUGAUGAAUGUCAAAGAAUUGGUAAUAUAAGUAGACGUCAAGAAAUGCCUAUGAAUUAUUCACUUGUUAUUGAACCAUUUGAUGUUUGGGGAUUUGAUUAUAUGGGAGCUUUUCCUUCCUCUAAUGGGUAUACACAUAUUUUGGUUGCUAUUGAAUAUGUCACUAAAUGGGUAGAAGCUAUUCCAACCAAUAGUGAUGAUCAUAACAGCUCUAUUAAAAUGCUUAAGGAAGUUAUUUUCCCAUGUUUUGGAGUCCCUAGAUACUUAAUGACUAAUGGUGGUUCACACUUAACUCAUGGUGUUGUUCACAAGUUUCUUGCUAGAUAUGAUGUUAACCAUAGAAUUGCAUCUCCCUAUCAUCCCGAGUCUAGUGGUCAAGUUGAAUUAACCAAUAGAGAAAUAUAACUAAUAUUGCAAAAGGCUGUCAAUAGGUCCCGAAAGAAUUGGUCUAAGAAAUUAGAUGAUGCAUUGCGGGCGUACAGAAUAGCUUACAAAAUCCUAUGGGUAUGUCUCCUUAUAAAAUGGUUUAUGAGAAAGCAUGUCAUUUACCUCUUGAGUUAGAACAUAAAGCUUAUUAGGCAAUUAAAGAACUCAACUAUGAUUUCAAACUUGCUGGUGAAUAGAGGUUAUUUGAUAUUAUCUCAUUAGGUGAAUGGAGAAUCCAAGCCUAUGAAAAUGCCAAACUACUAAAAGAAAAAGUUAAAAGAUUGCAUGAAAAAAGAAUCCAAAAGCGUGAAUUCAAAGUUGGUGAAUAUGUUCUAUUUUACAAUUCUCAUCUUAGAUUUUUUGCAGGAAAUCUUCUCUCCAAAUGGGAAGGACCAUGUAUCAUUUAAGAAGUUUAUUGGUCUGGAGCUAUUAAGAUCAAUAAUCUUGGAGGCACUAACCCGAAGGUGGUCAAAGGACUAAGAAUAAAGCAAUAUAUUUCAAGUACACCAAUUAAUGUUGAAACAAAUAUUAUCCAAACCAAGACACCAGAGGAGCACAUUAGGGGGACCAUCCAAAAUACUCCAAAAACCUUUAAAAGGAAGAGGUAUUGUAACUCCCAAGAUGCGAUCCUAUCCUUAUUUUGGCGCGAGGGCCUCGACAGGGGUAGAGGCGCAUCUCAUUGUUUUGCAAUGGAUAUUGUUACAAGUACAUGUACUGAAGAGAUGAGUAUAUGGAAUUGGCUUACACUCGCCACAAGCUACAUCAAGUUCACAUCAGUACAACAACAUCAUCAAUCAUCAUGAAGAAGAGCAGGGUCCGACUACGGACGAAAACAAACAAUAAAAGAAUGACGUCCAUCCUUGCUAUCCUAGGGUGUCGGCAUGGAACCCAUCCUAGAUCGAUGAUGAUGAAGAAGAAGAAGAACUCCAAUUAGAACAAUCAUCACACUCACGUCAAAGUAUCGCUUUACCUGUACCUGCAACUGGUGUUGUAGUAAUCUAUGAGCCACAGGGACUCAACAAUCUCAUUUCCAAAGGUAUCAAUACUAGCAAAGCUUAAUGGAUGAGGUAUGGUUAAGUGGUGAGGCUGCAACAACGACUAAGCAUUUAUUUGAGGUGGCUAAAUUACGAGUACGAGAAUAAGAGAGGGGGAUGAUCUACGCAUACUAGGACGUGAACUAAUAAUGAUCAAAUGAAUGAUCCUGAACACCUACUUAUGUCAGACAUUACCCCACCGUGUCCUCAGUCGGAGAAGGACCUCACGAAAUAAACAAUCAUGGUUACGCACACAAUUGGCAUAUUUUAAUUAAGCUCACUUUAAGUUAUCUAGAACCCGAUGUUAAACAAAGUUUUCAAGUUUGUCACAUAAGCACGGGCAUGACUUUCCAAAAGAUUUACCCUGUAGGGGUGUUCCAACUAGUCCAUCACAAAUUACCACAAGCUGCAUAGAAAGCCUCGGUCAUGAAACUUGUGAUCUCCUCGGAUUCCUUAGUGGAAAACCUCAACUCUGAGAUAGCCCAAAGCAUCACCGGAAUCCCGAUGCACAAGAUAUUUCAUAAAAGAUAAAACAAAUCCCGCACGGCCGCCCGACGUGUCGACGAACCCGAUAUGAGCCGCGUAUCUUGUUCUCAGGACACGACCGGAUGGGAAAGCCUACUAGUAAAACCAAACCUCGAGGUGCCCCGUGGUGGCCCCCCCAGUCUGCCCUUUUUGGACCAACACUCAUGAGGAGCACUGGCCCGUGGGUUGAUUAAGUAUCCUCGGGUUAAUUACUCCCUAUGUGGUUCAUUAGUUAUUAGGCAAAUAGUACCGAAGUUGGGCCUUGCCAGACAAGCUUUUACUAAGACGAAUUAUCAAGGGGGUCCCCAUAACAACCCCGAUCGUGUUGGGAGCACUCAGUUACGGAAUAUAACACCGGCAGCCGAAACUAAGGAGACAAAGCUGGAACAAAACACCAGGCUAGAAAGCGGAGCCUUCUAGCUUUUACCAAGUAUAUAGGUCCAUUAAGUUAAUUAGAAUUAUAUGGUGAUAUAACAAGGAAGCCAUGUUAUCACAUGGAAGAAACGACACCUGCAACUAGCAACAGUAACACAUGGUUAAGCAAGCAAUAACAUAGCUAAUCAGUGGUUUGGUAGGUUGUAGAAAGGUUGAAGGUUUCUUGGCAGUGUUGAGAGGCUGACAUUUAACAUGUGGUAGGCAACGAGACAUAACGAAAGAAAUGAGACAACUAGCAUGGCAUUGAUAGUAAUGGUAUCUAGGGAAACGGUCAUCUUUCUUGAGAUCCUGCUCGGAAGAAGAACGAAUCCGUGAAGCAGGCGGACCAACGAAGUCGAACGGAUCCUCACAUUCCGAUAUGCUUGCGGAACUCUAUCGAGAAGAAGCAAACCGGAAACAAGAAUCAACACACGAUAUUCACCAUGGCACAUGCACCAUAUUAUGCACAACCUAAUAUGAUGCAUGUCCAUUUCAAUUAUGCAAAGCAUGGCAUGACAUUUCACAACAAUCGAACACUACAUGUUAAGUGAAGCUCAAUAUGCAAUGAGUUGCAUAUUGACGAAACUCCACAUACGAAUUAUUUAAUUCACUCCUGAUUAGGUACACGACAAUAUUAAAUAUUGCUUAAACAUGGCAAGAGGUCAAGCACAAAUAAACUACAUAUCUAGACAUUUUAAAUGAGGCCGAAAACAUCAUAUAGCAUUUCCGAAACGACCCCACACGUUAACUUCGAAAUCUAUCCAGAUCUGACCUAAACAUAUUUUAUGUAUGUUAAACGGCAAAAUAAAGUGAUUCACGUGAAACUACAUGUCAUUCUAGUCGAUUUACAUAUAUCGAUCAUCUCCAACGGAGCUACGGUUAACUAGCUAUGAACAAUACAAGAUCAUAUGCUAUGAAUGCAACAUCUAUGCAAUAUGUGUGUGUGUGCAAAAGGAAAAAAAAUAAACAUGGAACAAAUUGGGGUACAGGGGAAUUGAACCGAGUACCUCUUGGUUGCAAACGAGCGUUUGACCAACUGGCUAGCGAGUGCGUGAAAAACAAUGGAUUGCUGCACUUGAUGAUACUGGGCGUCGAGCGAACCUAAACAAACAACAGCAAAACAAAUCGGGGUGCCUGGGAUUCGAAUCCGAGACCCCUUGCUUUGCUGCGCGCUGUAAUGACCAGCUCGGCUAGCAUUGUAUUUUUGAACUAAACCAACAACAUUGCUUAACUACAUACGCACCAAAACGGAUCUAUGCAUCAAAUGAAGCCUUUUGUCCAUGUAGGGAUGAGCUCACAACGAAACAACGAAGAGGACGAUGGGCAGCACAGGCACGGGAGCGGCCGGAUCCAACGAUUGGCCAUCAGAUCUGGGCGGAGGGGCGAGGUCCUGCAUGGGAGCCCUCCAUGGUAGAGCUUCUAGUCCUUGCUGGUGUUGAACGGUGAGCUAGAUAUGCGGCAGCGGGGUAAGACAACGCUGGAGGCGAGGGGAAAGCUCCAGCUUGAGGAGCACAUGCUAUUCGGGCGGCUACCUCUGGAGGUGCUGGACACGUCCAGGGGCAGCAAGCGCGCCGCGGUGGCCAUGUGCACCUGGGUUGGUGCAGGGGAGCUCCAAGCUCUAGCAGAGCUGGUCGGGGGUCUUGCGUGCGGGGUGUGCUUGAGCAGCGGGCCAUGCCGGUGCGGGGUCGCGAGCGAGGGGCGGCACCGGUCAAGACUGGUGCUGCUGGUUGGAUGUCUGCGAGGCUGUGAGGCCAGAUGGAUGGAUGGUUUCCUCGGUGGGGAUUGAAACUGAGGAGGGAUUAGGUGGUGCACGGUGGCGCCUGGAUCGGGAGGGAUCCUGAGGGGAUGCGGUUGGCGGCAACGAGGGAAUGGAUCUAGGGUUUGGUCUGAAUUUGGUCUAGGAUGGACUACAUAUAGCACAUGGGUUUUAGUUAGGGGCUAUCAAGACCCUCUGGUCGCAAUCGGGCGGUCGGGAAAAAAUAGGUUAAGGAGACCAUUUAACAACCCGAUGAUGGUUUGCGGUAAAACGGGAUUGAUCCGGACCCAACGAUGACGACCAUAUGAUUCAGGUUCCGAGAGGUUUUCAGACUAGGCUACGCGUAGGUCGGUGCAUUGUGCACAGGAGCUAGACGGAGAUGAGAGGGAAAAUGGGCAACCCGGCAUCAGGUUUUAAAACACUGAAAAUGUCCGACGAAAUGACCGGCUAUAGUGCCGCUAUAUGUUUAACGGUUCGGGUAUCAAACGAACUCCGAUUGCAACGAAAUUUGGCAGGUGGCCUAUGUGAAGCCCUCGUUUUAAUCGUACGCUAAUCAUACACGCAAAUGUGUACGAUCAAAUCCAAGGACUCACAGGAAGAUAUCACAACACAACUCUAGACACAAAUAAAACAAUAUCAGCUUCAUAUUACAAGCCAGGGGCCUCGAGGGCUAGAAUAUGGAAGCUCGAUAAACACACGAGUCAGCGGAAGCAACAAUAUCUGAGUACAGACAUAAAACAUGGGGUGCCUUAGAGAAGGCUAGCACAAAAGAUACAACGAUCGAACGAGGCGAGGCGUCCUGCCUGGGAACCUCCUAACUACUCCAAAUCAUCAGCGGCCUCCACGUAGUAGUAGCCACCAUCGGGGUAGCAGUCGUCGUCGGUGGGGACCUCCAUCUCCGGGGCUCCAUCAUCUGGUCACAGCAAACGGAUCAAGGGGACAAGGGGGGAGCAAAGCAGCGGUGAGUACUAAUCCAAAGUACUCGCAAGUCUUACAUCAGAACUAUUCUAAGUAUGCAUCAGUAUCAAAGAAGGGGGGUUUUAUAUGUGGACUAACUGCAGCAAUGCGAGAAUAGAGAGAGAAGGCCUAGUCCUAUCGAAGACUAGCAUCUUCAGGGUCUUGCAGCAAUAGACGAGAGUAGAACAGGUAACACCAUUAAUAGUCAUAUUGUUGCAGCAUUAUUAAUGUGAGGUCACGCCCAGAGAUCCUCCCUCGACUCCCUGCGAGGAAGCAAUCCCGAGGCAACUAAUUUCCAGUUAAGUAACCAUUGUAGUUGUAUAAGAUCAGGGCACAAGUCCAAGUCGUCCUGGAACCGUGGACACGGCUAUUCGAAUAGUUAAUUUUCAUCCCUGCAGGGGUGCACCACAUGUCCCGACGCGCUCGAUAACACUUUGGUCGGACACACUUUUCUGGGUCCUGUCCGGCCUCGGAAUAUCGACAUGUCGCAACCCCACCUAAGACUAAUCAGAGAGGCCAGCCCACCGGUCUAAAUCCUAAGCGCAAAGGGUUCAUGGGCCCAGUUACCCUCCGUGCUCCUACACGAUGCGAGGGCGGCCGACGUCAGUCCUAGCAUCCCUUAAUCACAAGCGCGAUGCAUCUUGGGACCACUCGGGCGCGCGCCACUACGUUGGUGACAUUUGAAAAGCUUCGGCUGAUACCGCGACGCCGAGUACCCAUAAUUCUUCCCACGCAUACGGUUAGUGCGAAAAGGUCUCCGACCAACCCAGAUCAAAUACCCAAAUCCAUUAACAUUUUAAUUAGGCCAUCGACACAGUCUCGCGGGAAUCCACGCGUCUUAACAACUAAUCACCAAUGAUCCCAGUAACAUGGUCGAGUAACUGUGUGGUUGUAACAUCGGGGGAGGGGGGAGAUCCGAGGUAUCACCCUCGUUGGAUUCCGAACGACGUAUCCGUCAAGGUGGGCUUAGAGGAAUCACCCUCGGGGGUCCCACACUUGAGGGAUUGCACGACAGAGGCAUCGUCGGGAAUGGUGAAAGAGGAAUCACCCUCGAUAACCACGACUGACUAGCUAUACUACAGAGAUAUCAUCAGGAGUACUUAGAGAGGUGUCACCCUCGGUACCCGAUAGUAUCUUUGUAGCGUCGUACAACUAAGGGGGGUGUAUGUGCUGUGUUGGGUCUAGCUUGUCGAUCAGGGAUCGAGAUUUGAAAACAAGCGGAGCAACUGGACUACGGGGUCAACGGGGAUGACUGCUCCACCUAUACUAAGCAUAUUUAAAGGUACAUGACUGAAAGUAGCAGUUCAUCAAAAAUAGGCUAUGCAUCAGAUAUAGGAGCUAACUACAACAGUAGCAAAAUACUAAUGCAAGCAGUAGGAAGAAAGACAUAGGCGAUAUAGGAAUGAUCAAGGGGGUUUGCUUGCCUUGCUGCUCUGCGGCAAAGGACUGAUCGGCAGGGUCGUAGAUGUACCCGACAGCAGCAUCAGUCUCGGGGUCUACCGGUAAGAAGAGGGGGAAGAAACAAUAAAUAAUAGCAACGGUGCAACACAACGCAUGACAUGGCAAGAUGCAGGCUAGACAUGAGCUAACGCAGCAACAUCCGUCAUAGACGGGUCAGAAGAAUAUCUAACGAUAUUUUCUGGGUCUCUGGCUACUACCGGACAGAUGGAAAAACGAUGGAAAUGUUCCAUGUUUGCUAUGCUAGGGACGCGUGACACACGAAUGGACCGUGUAUCCGGGUUCGUCUCGCUCUGCUCAUCAACUUUCAUGUUGAAAAUAUUUUUAUCUGACUUACGGAUUAUUUUAUAUUAAUUUUUAAAGUUUUAUUCAAUAAUUAGGAAUUAAAAACAGAUUUUUUUUAAAUAAAAUGCUAUUAUGACAUCAGCAUGAUGUCAUGCUAACAUCACCAGUUGACUGGUCAACUGACUAGUGGGUCCCGAGCGUCAUAGGCACAAGUUUUAAUUAUGAUUAAAUAUUAAUUAAUCAGAUUAAUUUAGUGGGGGACCCACGUGUCAUACUCUAAUUACCCAAUUAAUUAAUUAAUUAGUAUAUCUAUUUAUUUAUUUAAUAAAAACAUUAUUUUUAUUUUUAUAUUCUAAUUUUCACAUUUCUUUAAGAGAGGUUGUGGGGCCUCCCUGUCAUAGACAGCGGGGUGGGUUGGCCCCACCGGUAAGUGGAUAUAGGCCACAUACACAUUUUUCCUACAUAUACAUAUUCGCCAUAUACCUACAUACAUAAAUACAUACAUCAUGCAUCUCAUACAUACAAAAUACGUACGACAUUUAUACAUACAUACAUACANNNNNNNNNNNNNNNNNNNNNNNNNNNNNNNNNNNNNNNNNNNNNNNNNNNNNNNNNNNNNNNNNNNNNNNNNNNNNNNNNNNNNNNNNNNNNNNNNNNNNNNNNNNNNNNNNNNNNNNNNNNNNNNNNNNNNNNNNNNNNNNNNNNNNNNCAUACAUACAUACAUACGCAAUAAAUCAUUUAUUUUUAUUUCUCUCAAAGACUCUCUCUCCAACCUCUUUGUUUAACACAGAACUCAACAUCACACAGAGAGGGACACAUCUCCAAGAUCACCUACACGAACCUAUCGGCGUCGGAUCGGAACGCCGUUUGCCGGAACGGAACCGGGACGGCGUGAUGAAGGAGAUGGUGGGAGGAGCCCGAAGAGGGGCUCACCGACGUUGACGAGAGGGCCCGGUGAAGCCGGAGUUCUCGGGAGGCGGAGGUGACGACGAGGAGGAGGACGAGUCGGUGACGGUGGUGACGGUUCCGGUGAGGACGUGCCAGCGAGGGGAGCCGGCCGGAGGGUCGCUGAGAGGGGCCCCGGUGAGGAGGGACCCCCCGGAGAUGUGAGGGACGCCGGAGGGGCUCCCGGGGCCGCGGUGGGGCGAUGCAGGGGAGGGAGGCCGAUUUGCAGGAGGGUCUCGGGUGGAGGUGGUGUCGUGGGGGAGAGGGGCUCGGUCCCUGGGAGGCAGGAGGGAUCGGGCGAGCAGGGAGGGGCCGANNNNNNNNNNNNNNNNNNNNNNNNNNNNNNNNNNNNNNNNNNNNNNNNNNNNNNNNNNNNNNNNNNNNNNNNNNNNNNNNNNNNNNNNNNNNNNNNNNNNUCCGAGUGCGACUUUUAGUGCACACUCGAAGCGAGUUGUUACUCAUGUAGUUGUCAAUUGUCUUCACAUCCACAUGAGCCUCAAUGAGGGUCUGCUAAGCCUCCGAGUGGAUCUCUAGGAUACACUCGAAGGAAGCAUUUUACUUAGGCGAUUCUGGAUCGCAGCUAAGUCUCCGAGUGCGACUUUUAGUGCACACUCGGAGCGAGUUGUUACUCAUGUAGUUGUCAGUUGUCUUCACAUCCACAUGAGCCUCAAUGAGGGUCUGCUAAGCCCCCGAGUGGAUCUCUAGGAUACACUCGAAGGAAGCUUUUUACUUAGGCGAUUCUGGAUCGCAGCUAAGUCCCCGAGUGCGGCUUUUUAGUGCGCACUCGGAGCGAGUUUGUACUUAGGCGAUUCUGGGUCGCANNNNNNNNNNNNNNNNNNNNNNNNNNNNNNNNNNNNNNNNNNNNNNNNNNNNNNNNNNNNNNNNNNNNNNNNNNNNNNNNNNNNNNNNNNNNNNNNNNNNNNNNNNNNNNNNNNNNNNNNNNNNNNNNNNNNNNNNNNNNNNNNNNNNNNNNNNNNNNNNNNNNNNNNNNNNNNNNNNNNNNNNNNNNNNNNNNNNNNNNNNNNNNNNNNNNNNNNNNNNNNNNNNNNNNNNNNNNNNNNNNNNNNNNNNNNNNNNNNNNNNNNNNNNNNNNNNNNNNNNNNNNNNNNNNNNNNNNNNNNNNNNNNNNNNNNNNNNNNNNNNNNNNNNNNNNNNNCUUAGGCGACUCUGGGUUGCAGCUAAGUCCCCGAAUGCGGCUUUUUAGUGCGCACUCGGAGCGAGUUUUUUACUUUGGCGACUCUGGGUCGCAGCUAAGUCCCUGAGUGCGACUUUUAGUGNNNNNNNNNNNNNNNNNNNNNNNNNNNNNNNNNNNNNNNNNNNNNNNNNNNNNNNNNNNNNNNNNNNNNNNNNNNNNNNNNNNNNNNNNNNNNNNNNNNNCCGGAGGGCAAAAGUGCUCCUCCACACGUUCGACCUCCAGACGGCGGCGCUUCAUCCCGAAAGUCCUCCUCUUACCUUUUUUCAUGGUAAAAGGUAUUUUAUAAAAGAAGAUGAUCGCCAGAGGUGGACGAGGGGGCCCACUAGACAUUAUACCGCGUCAAGGGGGGCGGCACGCCCUGGUGUAUAUUGGGCGCUUCGUAGCCCCCCUCCGGUACUUCUUCGCUCAAGUAUUUUUUUAUUUACUAUAAUAUAAAUCCCUGUAAAUUUUCAUCCCAAUUGGAGAUUUGCACAAUAGGUACCUUUGACGUAACUUUUUCAAGUCCAGAAUUCCAUCUGCCGGUAUGAUCCAACUUGUUGUAAACCUUGCAUAUUGAGAGAGAGAAAAGGCAUUAGAAUUAUUCCACCAAGUGGAAAAAUGCAUAAAAACACUAUAAAUAACAGCAAACAAACAUGAUUCAAAAUGUAUGUAUCAACUCCCCCAAGCUUAGACCUCGCUUGUCCUUAAGUGAAAUCCGACAACGAAAAUCAUGACCACAUGCUUUGAGAGAGAGGUGUCGACAAAAACAAAAUACGGACAUAGGAGCAUCAUGCUCAUUAUUAUAAGAGUGAAUAAAACUUUAUAAAAUACUUAAUCACAUCAUUUUCAUCAUAUAACUUUCAUCAUAAAGGCUUCUUAUAAACAAGUAGCAAUUCAUCACAACAUUGAAGUAUGAAACAUAAAUUCUAUUGAAAACUAACAAACUAUGUUCUCAGUCAACUUUGCAACACAAUUCAUCAUAUUUUCAGGAAGGGUCACAUAUCGGAGCUUUGAAGCAAGUCUACAUACUCAACCAUCAUUAAGUCUCCUGUGAUUGCUAACACUCACCGCAUACAUAUGAGCAAAAGGUUUCAGCCGAACACAUAGAAAGACAAGGGCUUAUACUGUUGCAUCCCAACGUAUUCACCUCAAGGGUGAUGUCAAUAAUAAUAACUCAUGGCCACACACAUUCAGCUGGAUAUAUAUGUUUAGAUCUUUCCCCACUACAUGAUGCUUGCCAAAGGAAAGAUAAAGGAAGUAGAGGAAAAUACUUUGACUCUUGCGCAGAAGUAAAUUCAUAAAGGUAAAAGAUAGGCCCUUCGCAGAGGGAAACAUAGGUUGUCAUGCAUUUUUUGUUUGUAUGCUAAAUUUCUUAGUGCAAAGGAACCUUACGUUAUAUUGCCCCUUGCGAUAGGAACCUUUAUUAUGCAGUCCGUUGCUUUUAUUAUCGCCAUCACAAGUGUACAACGCUUAAUUUCCCUUACACUAAAUGAUCAAACAUGUUGAGAAACAUUUUUAUUGCUUUGUGCACCGAUGACAACUUACUUGAAGGAUCUUACUCAAUCCAUUGGUAGGUAUGGUGGACUCGUGAAACAUGGAUUUGGGUUUAAGGUUUUGGAUGCACAAGUAGUAUCUCUACUUAGUGCGGAGUUUUGGCUAGCAAAGGUAUUUGGCAAGCACCACAUGUUAGAGGAUCUAUAACAAUAUAACUUCUAUGUGAAUGUGAACAAGCAUAUAUCAUUACCUUGUCUUCCAUGUCCAAUGUCAAAAGUUUUGGCAUAUUAUAAUUUAUGGGGGCUCACAGUCAUAAAAGAUGUCAAGGAUAGUGUAUUUGCAUGUAAAUAUUGUCUUCCCUUAUUAAUUCUUUCAUGUGUUGCAUCACCGACCAAUGCUACGUUUGUCAAUCUUCAACAAAUUUUACCCCUUAUUCUUUUCUUUAUGUGAUGUCACUACUUACUAUAAGAUUGGCAUAUGAUCUUUUCAUUAUUUUUCUUUAUUUUGAUUGCAGCAAGAAAUUAAACAAGAAAAACUAAAACUAAACUUUAUUAUAUAACUCUCACUUGAUUACAUAAAUAGAUAGAUAGAUCAUGAAACUAGCACUGAGAAGAAAAGGAUCGAACUAAACUUGUAUUUGACUAAAUUUCAAAAUAUCUAAAGAUCAAACUUAGAUGGAUAAAGAUAAGUAAGAGUGAUGGUGAUAUGAUACCGGGGUUCCGCCUCCAAGCUAGGCACAAGCCAAGGGGAAUGCACAUACCCGUGUACUCAAGUCUCCUUCUUUGGUGGUGAAGAUGGAGGUGGUGGUGUAGAUGAUGAAGUAGCGCCACAGUGUAAUAUCAGGAGGUUCUCUAGAUGUUGAAUAACGCUCCGGAGGUUGAUGAUUUGGUCCUUUAACAAAAUAUUUUCAUGAGUAAGAUAUUUAUUCUGAACGUGAACUGUUUUGAAGUAUCUAAAGGCUUCAAUUUCAAUAAGGGCGAUACGCUCAUAGUAGGGUUGGAGGUAAUAUUCUUCUUCUCUUCUUUUGGUGGCAUGGCCUACCCUUCUUCUGGAUCUUGAUCCCCCUUGACUUCCUCGCCCUUGCUCUCCAUGAUAGCUCCUACUGGUUCAUCCUCCUUUAGUUACAUCUUCAUCAGCCAAGCAUCUUCUUCUACGUGGUUGGAGGGGGGAGAAGGCAUGAUGCCCGGCUUGAUGGUUCUGACAGAAAAAUAGCACGAAACAAGAACAGAGGAUUUCUCCAUCGUACUGGGGUCAAAUCAUGGGGAGAUAUAUAUAGAGAGAAAUUUAUACAAGGGAAUACGUGUUCCACAAGAAAAUGGAGCCACUAAGGUGCCCGAGGGGACCACUAGACAUCAGGUCGCGCCACGGGGGCUUGACGCACCCUCGUGUCUAGUGGACACCUAGGUUGCCUUCCCGUUUUUCUCAAAUUCCUAUUUUUCUAAUAUUCCAAUACUGACAGAAAAUAUAUUUGCAGAAUUUUUCGAGACCUUUUACUUACCAUAUGACAUACCUGUAAUAGCCCGAGACCGAUGCUCCAGAAGAUUCCCCUUUUAUUUCGUUUCCACCGUGUGAUUAGAUUAUUUGUCGCAUUCAUCAUCGCAUCAUUCACAUCAUCCGCAUUACAUCGGCACUCCGUUGCCGUCAGUUUUCAAAACUUCCAUCCAUUAUUAGCUGUCGAAUCUCUCCAUUUUUGUCGUUGACCAUUUUGAGACCAACCACACACGCACCUGCCCGCGACAUCGUUAAAAUCUUGUUUUCAAGAGUGUGUAUAAAACUUUCUCGGAUUGGGUUGAAACUUGGCGUGCGGUUUUUCUAAUUUAGGCUACAUCAACGUCGGAGAGGACAAACGAAUCCUGGUAGCUGGCGGUGAUAGAAGGUAGGGACAGGACCCUGUGUCCCGUUGUGGCUCGUGUGAGUGUACCGUAUCCACUCGAGGAGCUGGGUCCAAGUUCAGGGGUUCUACCCCCAACAUCAGUCCACUCAAGAGCUGAUGGUAGCUCUGUCCUGCUCGGCUUGCGGAUGCGCAUAGGGGGAACCCUCGGGCAGUGAGUCGCAAGUCAUACUGCAACCACCUCCAGGUUCAUAAGGUUCAUGAUAAUCUGCAAGAGGAAUUCCGCAAGCUGAACCUCCAUAUUGUUCCUCAGGGUUACCUUGUUCCCCCUCCUGAAGAGUGUCAAAAUAUGAACCUUCGUGUUGUUAAUCAGGGUUCCCUCAGUAACCUAGUGGUUGAACCAGAUCUUGUGAGCUCCAUAAAGAAUCAGCAAGGCUUUGACGAUGAUGUCGACGGGAUUAAGAGCUAUAUUACGAAGCGUAAACCCUCCUUUUUCACUGUUGCUGAAGAUGGCGCCUUGUACUUCAAGGGUCGCCUAUUCGUUCCAAAUAAGAAGGAAAAUCUCAGGAUGACCGGAGAGGUGAUGAAAGAAGCUCACGACACACCAUUGUCUAUUCACCCGGGUAGUACCAAGAUGUACCAAGACAUCCGGCAAAGAUUCUGGUGGCCCAAUAUGAAACAAGACAUUGCACGCUAUGUGGCAGAAUGUGAUAUAUGCCGGCAUAUCAAAGCAGAACAUCAAAAGCCUGUUGGAACUCUGCAACCUAUCUCUAUUCCUGAGUGGAAAUGGGACCAUGUUGAAAUGGACUUUGUCACUGGUUUCCCAGAUCUCAGAAAGGUAAUGAUGCUAUUCUUGUCGUCAUUGAUCGACUGUCCAAAGUUGCACAUUCCCUGGCCGUCAAAGAAACAAUUAAUGCUAGUCAGCUGGCAGAUCUUUAUAUGUUAAGAGUUGUUUCACUUCACGGUAUUCCGUUGGUAAUCAGCUCGGACCGUGGCAACUUGUUCACUUCAAAAUUCUAGGAAAGUCUUCAGAAGUCUAUGGGGACUCAUCUGUCCUUCAGCACUGCAUUUCAUCCUCAAUCCCAGGGACAAGUUGAACGAGUCAACCAAAUUCUCGAGGACAUGCUUCGAGCUUGUGUCAUUUCUUUCGGUAAGAAAUGGGAGGAACCUCUCCCGUAUGCCAAGUUCUCUUACAACAAUAGCUAUCAAGCUAGUCUGAAGAUGGCCCCUUUCGAAGUAUUGUAUGGACGAAGGUUUCGAACUCUUCUGAAUUGGUCAGAAACUGGGGAACGAUCAUUCUUCGGUCCGCAUAUUAUUCAACAUGCCGAGGAUCAAGUUCGCGUUAUUCAUGAGAAUCUGAAGGCUGCUCAGUCUCGUCAGAAGAGUCAGUAUGACCAUCAUCAUCAAGAUAUGGUCUAUCAACCUGGCGAAAAGGCUUAUCUUCGUGUCACACCAAUGAGAGGUACACACCGUUUCGGGAUCAAGGGCAAGAUAUCUCCUUGUUAUAUUGGUCAUUUCACUGUUCUCGAAAGGCGUGGGAGAGUGGCUUAUCAAUUGGAACUGUCGGCGAACCUUUCUCAGGUUCACGAUGUCUUCCAUGUUUCUCAGCUCCGUCACUGCUUCAAGGAUCCUAUUCGAGCAGUGGAUCAUGGUAUGCUUGAGCUGCAACAAUACCUCUCUUAUAAAGAGCAUCUGGUCCGCAUUCUCUACCAAGCUGAACGUAAAACUCUUCGCAAAGUCACCAAGUUCCUUAAGGUGCAGUGGUCAAAUCAUUCUGAAGAUGAAGCCACUUGGGAACGCUAGGAUCAUCUUCGUGAUGAAUACCCCGGGCUCUUGCCUUCUACCUCUUAAUUCUCGGGACGAGAAUUCUUGUUAGUAGGGGAGAAUUGUGACAUCCUCGACUUUUGCUACGGUGAUGAUUGUAAUUAAGUGACAGUGAUCCCGCGCUAAUGAUGCCACAUCAUCGUGGAUUAUAUCAAUGUUCUCAUGUUGGUUGAAACCGACUCAAAAUUCAAAGCUUGGAGAUUAAGUCAAACAAGGAAAGAUAUUAUGUUGUUGAAAUAAAAACGUCGGGAGUUAUAAAAAUUCCCUAGCGGAUUAUAAUAUCAAAUCGGGCACUUUAGGAAUUAUUGUUAAAUCCCCAUAUAUUUAAAAGUGGAGAUUUAAAUCAAAUAAAUAAAAGAAAUAUAGUAAAUGAAAAGAAAUAAAUAAAAGAAAGAAUUAAAAUUAUAUAUANNNNNNNNNNNNNNNNNNNNNNNNNNNNNNNNNNNNNNNNNNNNNNNNNNNNNNNNNNNNNNNNNNNNNNNNNNNNNNNNNNNNNNNNNNNNNNNNNNNNUCCUCACGUCCCUCGAUCCGCCUCGCGAACCGUCCCACAAACCGUCAUGCGAUCCGUCCCACGAUCCGCUCCGAUCUAGUGCCAAACGGACGGCACCUCCGCGUUCACCACACAUACAACUCGACGAUGAUCACAGCCUUCUUGAUCCAGCAAGCAAGACAGAGAAGUAGAUGAGUUCACCGAUAGCAUGACGGCGCUCCGGUGGUGGUGAAGGAUCUACUCCUGCAGGGCUCCGCCCAAGCUCCGCAGAAAUACGAUCUAGAGGAAAAAUCUUGAUGUUUUGUGGUCGGGCUGCCGUGGCAAAGUUGUCUCAAAUCAGCCCUAUACCUUCACUAUAUAUAGGGGGAGGGGUGGGGAGGCUUGCCUUGGGGUCCAAGACCCCAAGGCUCUGCCGUCCAAGGAGGUGGAGGAGUCCACCUCCAAUCCUAGUCCAACUAGGAUUGGAAGGUGGAGUCCUUCCCUUCCUUCCCACCUCCCUUUUUUUUCUUUUUCCUUUGAUUUCUUAUCUCCUGCGCAUAGGGCCUCUUGGGUUGUCCCACCAACCCACUAAGGGCUGGUGCGGCACCCCUACGGCCUAUGGGCUUCCCCGGGUGGGCUGCCCCCCCCCCCCCCGGUGAACACCCGGANNNNNNNNNNNNNNNNNNNNNNNNNNNNNNNNNNNNNNNNNNNNNNNNNNNNNNNNNNNNNNNNNNNNNNNNNNNNNNNNNNNNNNNNNNNNNNNNNNNNUUAUAGUCACCCAGUUACGUUGUGACGUUUGAUACACCCAAAGCACUCCUACGGUAUCCGGGAGUUGUACAAUCUCACGGUCGAAGGAAAAAAUACUUGACAUUAGAAAAGCAUUAGCAUACGAACAAUACGAUCUAGUGCUAGGCUUAGGGUUGGGUCUUGUCCACCACAUCAUUCUCCCAAUGAUGUGAUCCCGUUAUCAAUGACAUCCAAUGUCCAUGAUCAGGAAACCAUGAUCAUCUAUUGACUAACGAGCUAGCUAACUAGAGGCUUGCUAGGGACACAUUGUGAUCUAUUCAUUCACACAUGUAUUAGUGUUUCCUGUUAAUACAAUUAUAGCAUGAACGAUAGACGAUUAUCAUGAACAAGGAAAUAUGAUAAUAACCAUUUUAUUAUUGCCUCUAGGGCAUAUUUCCAACAGGGUUGCUAGGGUUUUGCUUUGGUUUUCAUUUCAUUUCCUUGGAUGCAUUGAAGAAAACAUGAGCACAUCUUACUAACCUAAUAAGGAUCAGGGAUGUGACAUUAUGGGCCUUUUCUCACUUGCUUCUUAUUGAUGUUUCUAUCAACAUUGUGUUAGCCCAUGUCGUUAGCUUUCUAACAAACUUGGUUUCGUUGAAUUCAGAGUACGUAUGUGAAAGUUAAGACAGUUUCAGUGGAGAGGCGGUAGUACCGCUCCCACGAGCGGUAGUACCGCUCCGUCGGACUUUAUUUGCGCAUCUUUUUACCUCGGCAUGGUUGCUGAACCUCCUGAGCGGUAGUACCACUCCGUCGGACUUUAUUUGCGCAUCCUUUUUGCCUCGGCAUGGCUAGUGAACCUACCGAGCGGUACUACCGCUCCCAUGAGCAGUAGUACCGCUCUGUGCGGGCUGUGAAGUAUAAUGGUUGGAUUUUUCCUCACCUAUAAAAGGGGGUCUUCUUCCCCAUUGAACCUUAUCUCUUCAGCUCGUGUUCUUCCCCCAUUGUUGACCUUCUUCAAUCUUGCUAACUCUCAAUCCCUCCAAUGAUUUUUGCUAGCUCCUGAGGGAAAAGAGAGAGGAGGUCUAGAUCCACAUUUCCACCAAUCACUUUCUCCUCUAAGUGAGGGGAACCCUUUGGGUAUAGAUCUUGGAGUUCUUCGUGUUCUUCUUUCUUCUUCCUCUCAUUUUCCUCCCUAGCAUUAGUUGCUUUGGUGGGAUUUGGGAGAGAAGGACUUGGGCACUCCGUGUGCCCUUGCCAUUGCAUUUGGUGCAUCGGUUUGAGUUCUCUACGGUGAUACCUGGAAGUGAGAAGUUGAGAAGCUUAUUACCCUUGGGUACUUGGUACCCCUAGAAGCUUGGUGGUGCCUCGGAGCUCAAUCAUUGUGGUGUAAAGCUCCAGGCAAGCGUCGGGGUCUCCAAUUAAGUUGUGGAGAUUGCCCCGAGCAUUUGUGGUCACCUCGAAGACAUAUGCCAUUGUGGUGAAGCUUCGUGGUGUUGUUGGGAGCCUCCAAUUAAGUUGUGGAGAUUGCCCCAACCUUGUUUGUGCGGGUUCGGUGACCGCCCUCAAGGGUCCCUUAGUGGAAUCACAGCAUCUUGCAUUGUGCGAGGGUGUGGGGAGAUUACGGUGGCCUUAGUGGCAUCUUGGGGAGCAUUGUGCCUCCACACCGCUUCAACGGAGAUUUGCAUUUGCAAGGGUGUGAACUUCGGGAUACAUCAUCGUCUCCGCGCGCCUCGGUUAUCUCUUAGCCGAACCCUUUACUUAUGCACUUUACUUUGUGAUAGCCAUAUUGUUUCUUGUCAUAUAUCUUGCUAUCACUUAGUUGUUUAUCUUGCUUAGCAUAAGUUGUUGGUGCACAUAGUUGAGCCUAGUUGUUUUAGGUUUUGUGCUUGACAAAUGAAACGUAGUUUUAUUCCGCAUUUGUUCAAGCCUAAACCAUAAUUAUUUUAAAGCGCCUAUUCACCCCCCCCCCUCUAGGCUACAUCCACGUCCUUUCAAUUGGUAUCAGAGCUAGGUCUCUCUUUAUUAGGUUCAACCACCCAGAGAGUAAGGAUGUCGACUAGGGGUUUAGGAUUCAUUGACACUCUUAAUUUCGAUGGCACAAAUUUUGAUGUUUGGGUUAUUCGCAUGCUUAAUUACUUUUGGGUCUUGGAUCAAAUUUAGAGCGAAUUGUAGAUAUGGGUUUUUCUCCUCCAAAGGAUUCACAAAAUAUAUCUUUAGAGGAUGAGAAAAACUCUUAUCUCGAUGCUCAAGCUUCUAAUGUACUUAUUGAUGCUUUGAGCAAUGUAGUUAUAUUUCAACUCAUGCCAUUCCGGGAUGCUCAUGAGUUGUGGACAAAGCUUCAAGAUAAAUAUGGUGCGUCCAAGAUUUGUGGGAAUGAUUGUUCUCCCUCCACCUCCGGUCGUGUGGUCUUCUCAACUUCAUCUAUUUCACCUACAUCUGGAUUGCCAUAAGGUAAUGAUAUGGUGAGUAGUGGAGAUCAUUGCAACAAUGAUAGUGGGCUUAUUGUUGAUGAUCAUUCAUCACUAUAUUAUUGCAAUGCUUCAUCUUUGGACGCUAACACUUUGAGCACUCUAAAUGUUUUACAUGCUUGUGUUGAUAGUCCGUGCAUAUCAUGUAAAAACUGCUUGACUAAAUCUCAUGAUGAUAUGCUUUCUAUAUUUUGUUGCCAUGAUAAAAAUGUAUCUAUUUUCUCGAGUUGUUGUGCUAACAAUGUAGAGGAAAUCCAUCACUCCAUGGAACAAGAUGUGGCCUUAAAUUAUGCUUCAAGGGAUCCCACAUCAUCAUCUGUUGUUUCUCACUUUUUCCUUAUGGCUAAGGCUUCAAAGGUAUAUCCUACUUUGAAUCCCAAUAAAUCUCGUGAUGAUGAUGUUGAUGAUAAUAAGGAUGAGGAUAAACAUGAAGAGAGUGAUGAUAUUGCAUCCUUAAAAAUUAAGGGUGAUAUGAUUUUUAAAUUUCUUUAUAAGAAUAAACUUGCUUGUUCCAACUUCAUGGAAAUCAUGUCUAUUGCCACUAAGGGCAAGAAAUAUAUUCAGGAUUUGGAAGCUCAUCUUGAUUUGCAUGAGGUCACCAUUGAGAGAAUGGAAGGUCAUGAGCAUGAUUACGCUAAUGAGAUUGCGGAGCUAUCUCAAGCUCUUGAAAAUGAACAAACCACCAAGGAAUCUCUUGAGGAGACCUUUGCUCUCAAAUUAUCUAGAUUAAAGGUAUCUCAUGAUAGAGCUCUCGAGGUGGCUAAUGAUUUUAGAACUAAAAUGAUAAGAUUGAAGUUUCACAUGCCAAACCCCGUGAGAACUAUGAGCACCUCGAAAAUGGCUCAAGGGCUAUUAAGAGUUCGCUCAUCGAACUCACCGAGUCUCAUGCUCAACUUGAAGCUUCAUAUGCUAAAGAGCUUGCCAAUUUGCCUUAUCCUCUUAUUGCUAAUGAUGAUGCUUGUUCUAGCAACUCUACUUCUUGUGAAGCAUCCAUUUUAAAGGAGAAUGUUGAGCUAAGGGCUCAACUUGAGUUGCUAUCUAGCAAUUAUGGGAAAUUGGAAGAAAGUCAUGUAAUGCUCACAAGCCCUCAUGAUGAUCUUAUAGCAUCCCAAAUGUGCUAAAAUUAGCUCAUGAGACUAUUACUACCAAGGUAACAUCAAGUGAGCCUCAUGUGGACAAUGGCACUACUUCUAGUCAAAAUGCUAUAUUGUCAUGUGCUAGUCCUCGUAAUUCUUCUACUCAUAAUGUUGCUACCUCUUGUGAUGAAUUACUUUCCUUGCCUUGUUGUUCUAACAAUGAAGCUUAUACUUCCCCUAGUACUUGUGUUGAUACUAACCAUGUAGAGGAAAUCGAAGAGCUCAAGGCCCAAGUCACUUCUUUGAAGAAAGACUUGGAAAAGAGUUAUGAAGGGAUGUCCACACUCAACAAUGUCUUGUGUGGGAAAAAAAUCCACAAAUGACAAAGAUGGACUUGGAUUGAACUCCAACAAGAAUAAGAAGUCCAAAAACUUCAAUAAGAAGGGCCAAGAACAAGUCAAGAAUUUGGCCAAGAUUAUUUGCUUCAAGUGCAAAAUUUAAGGGCACCAUGUUAGAUCUUGCCCACUAAAAAGAAGCCCCAAAGUCACAAGCAACAAGGGAAGCGGCCACAAGUUCAAUCACAUACUCAACUACAAGUUGAAGAAAGGCCUCUUCCCAAGAAGACCCAAGCCAACACUCCUCAUGUUGAGAAAUCAAUAGGGAAGAAAUUAAAGGGUAGAUGUUGCUACUUAUGUUGUGAGAACGGUCACUUCGCUUCUUCUUGCACGAGAGGUAAUUUAUCCAACCCAAUCAUUAUUGAUGAUAUCUAUUCUCUUGGUAAGGAUAAGGUUAACAAUGUGUUUGCCAAGUUUGUUAGUACUCAAAGUGGUGUCAAGAAAAGUACCAUUUUGGUUGCCAAACCUAAUGUAGCGACCCGACUCAAAAUGAGUCAAGCCUCUGUGUUUNCUAAACAUAUACGUAAACAGGAGAAAAUAGAAAAAAAAGAGAAGAAGGGCCGCAUGGGCAAAAAACUUUGGCCAACCGCAUGAGCACUUACGGCCAGCCGUGGCCUUUGUUUUUUUUUCGAACGAACAAUAUUUUUAUUUUAAAACAAAGAAGAAAAACGUAUAAAUGAAAAAGAGAGAACAUUUUAUAUAGACAUAUUAUAUAUCAAAAUUUUCAGAAUAAAAUUUUCUAAAACAUGAACAUAUUUUCAAAACCAAAAAAUAUUUUUUUGCAAUAACUUUAAAAUGAAAAGGAAUUUGAAUUUCAAAUAAAUUGCAAAUACUUAAAAUUUGAAUCAAGACAUUGUCUCUGAUUUUGGAGGGUCAUUUUCCUCCUCUCGUUUGAUUUUUUUUAAUCAAAGGGUUUUGAAAAUAUUCAAAAUCAAAAUCGAAAAGGGAUUCAAAAUAGAAAAUUUUGGGAAAGUCAUUUUAUUCCCUCUCAUUUUUUUGAGAAGUUUCAAAUUCCACUCAAGUUUCAAUCACUCAAACAAACAAACAAUCAAUCUAAUAAUUAUAUUAACAUUCCAAAAUUUAUAAUUUUGGGAUGUUACAAACUACCACACUUAAAAUGAAUCUCGUCCUCGAGAUUCGAAGAGGCUAGAAAGAAAAGGUUAUGGUUUGGGGGGGUCCUCUAACAAAUAUAGUCUCCUACAAAGUGGGGUGCUACCACACUUAAAAUGAGAGUUACUGGUCGCUCAAAUUUUUAACAAUCCUUUGGGGUCUUGGCAUCUCGCUCGUCACAUUCUUCAUGGUAACUUCUUUGGUGAAGUUCUUCCAUUAUAUUCAUAAUGUUUCCAUCAAAAUCGAGGGUUCUUCUAUUGAUAUAAGAUUCUUUCGUCACUGGGUCUUCUUAACUGACAAGUCUCGUGACCAUUCUAAAUAACCUAUCGAUGAUUUCUCAUGGUGGUCUGCCAUUUCUGGUUAUCCUGCAGAGAGAAGGGUCUUGGCUUCACCCUCACCGUAAAAUGUGCGACGUGUGACAACGAUUGCCAUGCACAUGGGGCUUUCAUCAUACCAUUCUAAGGCUUAAACAAAAGCUUCAAAGAACGUCGUCUCUCACUAUGGAUAAGUCUCUCAGAUUUACCAUUCUGAAUAGCAAGAGAAUGAUAAUAGUAAGUCGUCAUGGUGGCCAAGCCAUGUCGCACUGAAAUCAUUACCUUGUAUAAGGCUUAGUGAAUCUCGUAUUCUAACACUUGGACAUCCUCACAAGCAUUGCAGAGUUUCUCUUGUCCACGAACGAAGUUCGGAUAAAUCCAAUGAUUCUGCAAGCUGAACAAACAUCUAUCGUUUCUUCACAACUCUCAGGUUUUCGUAUGCUCCUAAGAAAACGUUUGCUGAAACAAGUUUCCUUCUCCAAAAAGAUAGUACUUGAUCCUUGUUAGUCCCGGGGUCUGUGGGUUUCAGGCAUACUUGGGGUAAAUGUGACACGCCGCUGGGUAGUGGGUGGUUCCUUCACACAAGAAACAAGUCACCUGACUAGUUGGGCAUUCCUCAGCUGGGUGAUUUUCUUCACAAUGAGUGCAUCCAUCCUUGUGUUCUUCCUGGGUGUGUCCUAUUUCUCCAUAGAUCUUGCAUGCAUAAGUCUUCUCCUUCAGAUUUUCAUAGUACUUCUGAAUAAGUCAGGAUCUUAACAAAGUCUUCUUGAAUUCGUCCCAGGUUUCUGCUCCACUAAAUCCUUGUAUGGCAUGAUGCAUUUUCCACCAGAUUGCAGCACUCUGGGUAAAGUACUGGAGAGCGUGUUCCACUUCAUACUUCCUUGGGAUCAAGUUGCUCCCGACGUGGUUCUCCAUGUUCUGAAUCCAUAUUUCAGCCUCCGGCUGGGUCAUUGGUCCAGAGACUACAAGUCCAGCUUCAUACUCCAUCUGGUAGGGUUGAGGUUUUGGGGAUGAGACGGGUAAGAGAGGGAGGGAGAUACACACAAUACAAACAAUAUUUUUGAGAAUAUGUUUUAGUUGUGGCCGUCGGAAAACACACACCAAUGACGGCUCACAAAUCAUCGUAACUAACAUGGGUAUAUAAUUGGGGUUUGGACUUCUAAUGGUCAUAGAAAUAUUCGAACGCUUCAGGGUCUUCGAAUUCUUCGGGUCUUGAGAGUCUUCAAUUGGUGUAGCUUCAAUUCUUCAAACGCGUGGUGAAAUCCUCUUUACUUUGAAGUAGAACUCCGUUGAUUCUUCAUGAGGUCGAAGGGGUAAGGGUAUUGUAUAACUAUUUGAGGUGAGAGAGAACAUUUGAUGAAAUCAGAAGAGAUGAGAAGUGAAAGGAGUUCUUGAAAAUAAAGUUUUUUUUUUGAGAGAUCCUUUCCUAAGAAAUUUCCAGUUUCUAGGGUCACGUCCUACAGUCAACAUGUGCUCUGAUACCAUUUCUGUAGCGACCCGACUCAAAACGAGUCAAGCCUCUGUGUUUCUGUGCCAUCCCUGGAUCAGUAUGCUGGCACACACAGUACAUCAAUGUAUAUAUCAAAGUGCAAUCACAUGUAAAAUAGCGUAAAACUGAUAUAUACCUUAAAUAUUUCAGCGGAAGCAGUCAAGGGAGUGGAGUCCCAAUAAACACCAACGGCAAGUUGAGUGUAGACCAUAACCCUGAAUCGUACUCUUACCCGUCGAAGAAAAUAUCUGCAACAUAAGACGUUGCAGCCGUGUAGGUCAGCAUAUUGAAUAUGCCCGCAAGUCAUCAAAGAGAGGAGUAAAAUAAUAAUCAACUAUCUCUACAUGCAUAUUUGGCCGGUGGGGCUAAGUUUUGCAUAAAGCCAGUUUUAUCCUACAACAAGAGGGGUUGGAAGCAAAAUAUUACUACAUUGUUUGUUGUUAACAAGAUGGUUCCGCCAACCAAUUCUCGUACCCGAAUAGUUGUUAACACCCACAUCAUUAUUAAGUUGUGUCGAGAGUUCAGGGGAAAUUCAAUGCCUUCGGCUCAAGUUUUCCAUGACCGUGGACACGGCUAAUCGAUUAGGUUGGGCACUCUGCAGAGUUUUGCACACGUUCCCCACAAGAUUUGAUCGCCUCCGGGUUUGUCCUCGCACUUCAGGGUGUUUGAAGACCGGAAGAUCAAAACAUGGUCUUUCAACGGGUCCCUCUGAAUCCCUGUCGGUGCCCAUCCAUUCCUACGGUUCUUCUACAUCUGCUAGCACCGCCUGUCCAGAGUCGCCGCGUUGUCCAACCAAGCCAGAGCCCAUAAUAACUUGUGGCUGUGCAGGUAAGCCUUGAGUCUUGCAAAUAUCCGUCCGUCUCUUUGAGCCUGGGUGAAGCUUUCCGCAGGAUGUCAUGGCCUCUCCAGCAUCCCGGGUCAUCCACUGGGUUCUCCAGGGAGCCGAUCAACCGUCCUUCACCCAGAGUUGCAUUGCGUCCGAGGUCUUGAAAAUCUUGUCUUAACCGGUCUUGAUUAUUUAAUCAACCUCGCAUCACUCGUGUUAUGCACUCAACCGAAAUUCCGUCUACUCAAGCAUAGCAAUAUGAAAUUUGUCGUCCCGGGGCCAAGUAUCGGGGUUGUUGUGUGCCUACCACAUGAUACUACAAUCUAUACUAAAAAUUUCCAAGUACCUAAGCAGCAUGCAAUUGGGCAUAGGAUGGUAGAACUACGAUGCAUAAAACAUAGGUGAUAGUAUGAUCAAAAUGACUUGCCUGGUAUUACUUGAUGAAGAUAGUCGCUCUCAAAAUCCUGAUAAUUCUACUCGCCACACUCCGAGCAAUCUAUUGUAAACGAAUAGCAUUCAAUAAACAUUCAUGCCAAAAAGGAAGAACCAAAAGAACAUAAGAACAAAACAUGUCUUUGUGCAAAAUAACAACAUACUAAGGUUUAAUAAAAAAAAAGGUUCUAAGUGUGUUGUAAAGUGAAGGUGCAUGAAUGAGAUCAAAAGAGUUAAUGGACGAUGAACUAUUGCUAUAUAAGCUCGACCUGCAUACACUAUGGGAGAUGAUCAAAAAUAUUGGAAGAACAACAUGAAUGUUGUUUGACAAAUAGUAUAAGACAUAAGAAUUUAUUUGUAGAAAGAAUUUCUUGAAAUGGAGCACUACAACGCAAGUUAUAGCGAAUUGAAGUAUGAAUUGAAUUUGCAUUCAAAAGGUCAAGAGAAGUUGAACUGAAGUACGAUGGUUACGUACAAAAAUAUAUGACAUGAGUGUUUAGGGGUAAAAGGAAUCAAUUGAAAAGGUGGUACGAUUUGCAAGAUAAGAUCAAAUGAAUGUUUGAAUACAAAUUUGAAUCGCUCAAAUUUGUAAGGUUCAAAGGUCAAAACUAAUGAUGCUACUGGAUAUAGGAGAUCAAUAUGAGCGUGUAGAAAAAAGAAUUACUAGAUUUGAACUAGCGGAUCAAAAGAUACAAAUACGUCAAUAUAACAUUGAAUCGGCUUACAAUGAUGUGAACACUUUUGGGCACUAAUAGAUAAAUCUGAUUUGAUCAAAAUUAUAAGUUGAAAAGUUAAAACUAAUGAUACAAACGGAAAGAUUACUUUGAUACGAAUCCGACACAAUUGAAUUCAUCUAAAACGGAGCUACGGAUAAAAAGAUAUGAUCAAAAGAAGUUUGAAUAUGAAUAUGAGCAAAUUUCAAAAUUUGAAAAUUUCAAAAAAAGUUGAUAUGAUAGGUUCAUCGGAUAGGUGGGAUCAAGACGAAACUCUAGGCGUUGGUUUCAUCUAAUUCGGAUAAACGAGUAAAAAGUUAUGGCUAUUUGAAAAAUCAGGACCAAGCUGUUUUACGAAAGAAAAGUGCUAUGUCUAAAAGAAUUCUAGUACUAAUGUGUAAAUACAAAGACUAAUUAAUAUAUCUAAUUACUCUACCGUGUACUAGUGUAGGAAUACUAGUCUAGAAAUAAUAAACUACGGAAGUAUAAAAAAAAUACGAAGAGAAAUACCUUUAGAAUGCAGAGUAAGAAUUAAUUCCAAUGAGGAGACGACUUCGAGAAAUCCCGCCGAAGAGAAGAAAAAAAUAUUUUUAUUUAAUAAAUCUAGUUAAACCAAAAGAUUGAUUUAACCCGAAAUAGAUGAUUUUUGUAUGCUCCUAUGGAUCUAUAUUUAUAGGUGGAAGGGAGGUCUAAUGGUCCAUAGAUAGGCAAUGUGGGACUAAACAUAUACGUAAAGAGGAGAAAAUAGAAAAAAGAGAGAAGAAGGGCCGCAUGGGCAAAAAACUUUGGCCACCCGCAUGAGCACUUACGGCCAGCCGUGGCCUUUGUUUUUUUUUUUCAAACGAACAAAAAAAAAAUUAAAAACAAAGAAGAAAAACGUAUAAAUGAAAAAGAGAGAACAUUUUAUAUAGACAUAUUAUAUAUCAAAAAAUUUAGAAUAAAAUUUUCUAAAACAUGAACAUAUUUUCAAAACCAAAAAAAUACUUUUAAAAAAAAUUAUUUUUUUGCAAUAACUUUAAAAUGAAAAGGAAUUUGAAUUUCAAAUAAAUUGCAAAUACUUAAAAUUUGAAUCAAGACAUUGUCUCUGAUUUUGGAGGGUCAUUUUCCUCCUCUCGUUUGAUUUUUUUUAAUCAAAGGGUUUUGAAAAUAUUCAAAAUCAAAAUCGAAAAGGGAUUCAAAAUAGAAAAUUUUGGGAAAGUCAUUUUAUUCCCUCUCAUUUUUUUGAGAAGUUUCAAAUUCCACUCAAGUUUCAAUCACUCAAACAAACAAACAAUCAAUCUAAUAAUUAUAUUAACAUUCCAAAAUUUAUAAUUUUGGGAUGUUACACCUAAUGUGACUAACCUCGAGCCAACGUGGUUGGGGACCAACAAGCUCAAACUUGAUCAAUAGGUGAUUGUGGAGGACAUUGGAGAAUUGGAUACAUAAUGAAGAAUUAAGGGGUCUUCAUCAUUCAUAUUAUCUCAAGCCAAGUCAUUUGGAUUAUCGAGUUUCUAUCUUAUAUUCAAUGUGCCUCCUUACAGAACAAUUGGAGAUGCAUUGGAUGGUCGGAUCACCUACAAGGAAGGUGUUGACACCGUGUUCUUAAUGAAGCCAAGUUAGUAUGAUCAACGAACAACCAUCUACUACAUCAAUCCAAUGAUGUCUCGAUAACAAGUAUCUACUUCAUGCAUACAUUCCUUGCAAGGCCCGAACAUAUCUUAUCUUGGCCGAGCGAUACUACCGUGGGUAGCCACGGUACUACCGAUGGAGAUGUGUUACUGCUGCACUCAUGCAGUAGCAGCACCGACACGGUACUACAGCAUCCAGCACGGCAGUAUUUUGCUGCUGCCGCUGGAUGAACGGUACUACCGCCCAGCGAGCGGGAAUAAAAUUUUACAACCGCUGGCCAAGUGGUACUACCGUGAUGACGUGCAGUACUACCGCGCCGUCGGGACCGCGAGUGGUUAUACCCUCCUCUCGUAGUUCUGUCUCUCUCUCCAGGUUUCAUCUUGGCAUGAAUCUCUUGAUUCAUUCGUGUGGUACUUGUUUCCUUUCUCAAAGCAUCCAAACGAUGAUGUCUUAUUUCAAGUUGGGAUGUCUUUGAUAUUCGUAUGUUGGAAGUUCAUAUUGUACAAUAUGAAAAUAUUAGGCCAUGUGCUAUGCUUCCAAGCAAAGACCUUAUUGAUAUAUUUAUGACUUUCUUUUGGAUAUCUUGUUUGUUCCUUCUUGUAACCAUUUAGUGUGUACAUCCUUGUUUGUGGAUAUAUAUCAUCAUGAUUGUAUUCUACCUAGAAUCUUUUACACAUGAGAGAAGUUACAUCUCUAAUUGAUAUCCUCUUUUCUCUCACGUCCACCGUUGCAUUUCCUUUUUCCUUUUUUGGUGGCUUUGUGAAAGGAUUUGUCUUGAGUGUGUAUCUUAUAUUCUUGCAUCUUGAUGCACUCUUUGGUGGUGAAGAUUAUUUUUCCUCAUGCUUGUCUUGAUGAGGGUUUUUCCAUUUCGAUUGGUAUCCCUCCUCUUGACAAGGUUAUUACUUCCUAUCUUCACCAUGGGUUGUCACAAGCGUUGGUUCUCAAUUUGUUUUUUAGCAAGCUUGUGAACCCAUUUUCUAGUAGUGUGUGUGUGGGAAGGAUAUGUCUUGCACUUUGUUUCUCAUUUCAUCAAGACUAUGUUGAUGAGUAAUGCUCAUCCUUAUCUUAAUCCUCUCAAGUGCUUUGCCAUGACUCACACACAUUAUUUUGGUUGAGCCUAUCUUAAGUUGUUUCUUUUACAUGUUGCUCAACCAUUUGUUUUGUGCAAGUGAUAUGCUUAUUGUCUCAUCUAUCUUCUUUCACUCGUUGUGUGUUUUUAUUAAUUUUGGGGGAGCAACGAUCCUAUUUUGUGCAGUUGUAUCAAAUACAAAAAUCUCAUAUUGGUGCACAAAUCAUGGGGAGCUUCUCUAGUUUUGAUAAAACACUCCUUUGCCUUUAUCAUAAUAUCUUUUAUUCAUGUCGUUCGAAGGACCAUGUGACUUUUUGUUCCAUAUGGUAUCUUUUGAUUGCUUGCUUCUAUUUUGUAUGUCUUUGUGCCAUACGAUCCUUCUUUUAGCAAUCUUUGGGUCCUCAAUAUAGUUUGUUUUCCUCCAACUACUUAUCAUUGUAUUUGUGUAUUUCUUCGCACCCAUUUGUUGAGAAGUACACACUUUUUGGAGGACCACCUACUAUAUUGGCUUUCUAAACUUUUUGUCCAUUUUGGCAAUCGAUGCCAAUGGGGGAGAAGUUUAGAGAGUUUACUUUGGAUAUGUUUAGAGGGUUUUGCUUUUAUUGUGUAAGAAUUUACAUCUUGCAUUAUUGCUUUGUAUGUGUGUGCUUGGUUAUACUUAUUUCCUUAUAUAAACUCUCUUGAAGUGGUUGUCAUCAAUUACCAAAAUGGGGGAGAUUGUUAGAGCAUAUUUCUCCAUAUGUGGUUUUAGUAAUUGAUGGCAAUCCCUAUGGACUAAUGGUUGCCUUAAGUUAUAUUCAAAGGAUUUGUCCAUAGGCACUUCUUGAAUUCCAUCUGUUGGUGUCAAGGAGUUUAUAUGAUGACCAAGGUGGUAUUCAAGGUAUUAUCCAAAUAUUGGUCAUAAAUACACAAGGUUGAUCAAGACUAAGCAAAGAAUAAAUCAAGAUGAUCAUUGAUACGUCUCCAACGUAUCUAUAAUUUUUGAUGGUUUCAUGCUAUUAUCUUGUCAAACUUUGGAUGUUUUGUAUGACUUUUAUAUAUUUUUUGUGACUAACUUAUUAACUCGGUGCCAAGUGCCAGUUCCUGUUUUUCCAUGUUUUUGACCCCUUUCAGAGGAGAUUUUGAAACGGAGUCUAAACGGAAGAAAAUCCCCGAAAAGAUUUUUUCUGGAAUGGAAGAAGAUUGGGAAGCUUGGGAGCCAAGGCAGGGGAGCCUCAAGGGACCCACAAACCCCCACCCCGCGACCAGGGGGAGGAAGUGCCAUCCAAGCUUGUAGGCCCCGUGAGCGCCCCCUGACCUAGGGGUUGCGCCUAUAUAUUCCCUAAAAAUCCCAAAAAAAUCAGGAGAACAUCGAAAGUACUUUUCCGCCGCCGCAAGCUUCUGUCUCCGCAAGAUACCAUCUGGGGCACGUUUUGGUGCCCUACCGGAGGGGAUAUUCGGACACGGAGGGCUUCUUCAUCAACACCAUGACCUCUCCGAUGAUGCCUGAGUAGUUCACCAUAGACCUAUGGGUCCAUAGCUAGUAACUAGAUGGCUACUUCUCUCUCUUGGAUCUUCAAUACAAAGUUCCCCAUGAUCUUCAUGGAGAUCUAUCCGAUGUAAUCUUCUUUUGCGGUGUGUUUGUNGCGCGGUUCUAUCAACUGCUCGACAGUAAUUUGUUCACCCACCGUAAUACUUGCUAUUUUGAGAGAAGCCUCUAGUGAACACUAUGGCCCCCAGGGUCUACUCCACACCAUAUUUUUAGCCUUACACUUUUUACUUCGUUGCACUUUCCGCCUUCACAUCUCACUUUGCAAACAAUCUUGAAGGGAUUGACAACCCCUUUAAAGCGUUGGGUGCAAGCUUGUUUGUGUUUGCGCAGGUACUCUGAACUUGACGAGACCCUCCUUAUGGAUUGAUACCUUGGUUCUCAAAGUGAGGGAAAUACUUACUGCUCCUGUGCUGCAUCACCCUUUUUUCUUCAAGGGAAAAACCGACGCAAACCAGAGAAGUAACAAGAAGAAUUCCUAAGCGCCAAGGAAGGACUUUUGUUGCCGUAGCAGAAGAAUUUCUGGCACCAUUGCCGGGGAGGAAGAUCAAGUCAAAGACUUAUCCAAGUAGGUGUCGCAAACUCAUCUCUUGCAUUUACUUUGUUUGGCACUUGCCUCUCGUUUUCCUCUCCCCCACUUCACCAAUUUGCCUUUUUCGUUCGCCUUUUCGUUCGCCCUUUUUCUCGCCUGCUCUUUGUUUGCAUGUGUGCUUGCUUGCUGAAGUCACCAUGAACAAAAACACAAAACUUUGUGACUUCUCGAAUACUAAUAAUAAUGAUUUUAUUAGUACUCCGAUUGCUCCCGCCACUAGUGCGGAGUCAUACGAAAUCAAUGCCGCUUUGCUGAAUCUUGUUACGAAAGAGCAAUUCUCUCGCCUUCCUAGUGAAGAUGUCGCAUCCCAUCUCAAUACCUUCAUUGAGCUUUGCGAUAUGCAAAAGAAAAAAGAUGUGGAUAAUGACGUGAUUAAAUUGAAGCUUUUUCCUUUCUCGUUGCGAGAUCGCGCAAAAACUUGGUUUUCUUCUUUGCCCAAAAAUAGUAUCGAUUCUUGGGAUAAGUGCAAAGAUGCUUAUAUAUCCAAGUAUUUUCCGCCGGCUAAGAUUAUCUCUCUCCGUAAUGAUAUCAUGAAUUUCAAGCAACUUGAUCAUGAACAUGUUGCACAAUCUUGGGAGAGAAUGAAAUUAAUGAUUUGAAAUUGUCCCGCUCAUGGCUUGGGCCUUUGGAUGAUUAUUCAAAUCUUUUACGCUGGCUUGAAUUUCGCUUCUAGAAAUAUCUUGGACUCCGCUUCAGGUGGAACGUUCAUGGAAAUCACAUUAGGAGAAGCCACAAAACUCUUAGACAAGAUCAUGACAAACUACUCUCAGUGGCACACUGAAAGGUCACCUACUAGUAAGAAGGUACACGCUAUAGAAGAAAUUAACUCGUUGAGUGCUAAGAUGGAUGAGUUGAUGAAUUUGAUUGCUAGUAGAAGUGCUCCUUUAGAUCCUAAUGAUAUGCCCUAGUCUUCUUUGAUUGAGAGUAGCAACGCUAGCUUGGACGUUAAUUUUGUUGGUAGGAAUAACUUUGGAAACAACAAUGCUUUUAGAGGAAACUAUGUUCCUAGGCCUUUUCCUAGUAACUCCUCUAAUAAUUUUGGCAACUCCUACAACAAUACUCAUGGAAAUUAUAAUAGAUUACCCUCUGAUCUAGAGAGUAAUAUCAAAGAGUUCAUCAACUUGGAAAAAAAUUCAAUGCGUCCAUAGAGGAAAAGCUACUCAAAAUUGACGAUUUGGCUAAGAGCGUUGAUAGAAUGUCUAGUGAUGUUGAUGCUUUGAAAGUUAGAUGUGCUCCUCCCAAAAUCAACAUGGAUGAAACUUUGAAAGUUAUGUGUGUUUCCAUGGUUAAAAGCCAAGAAAGAACCGCCCAAAUUCGUGCUAGACAUGAAUGACUUAAAAAGGUGUGUUCUUGUGAUGAGAAUCACAAAGAUCUUAAAGUGCUUGGUGUGACUCCUAUUGAAUCUUUGUUUUCUUGUGUCAAACCUAAUGAUUAUGGGGCUGGAUAUGAAUCCACUUUGGUUGAAAAGUGCCCCAAAGAUUCAGAGUCCAUCUAUCUUGAUGCUAAAAGCAUUAAAAGUGGAGUAGAAGAUGUUAAAACUUUGAGUAGUAAUGAAAUUACUACUGUGGAUUUCAAGGAAUUCAAUUAUGAUAGUUGCUCCUUGAUUGAAUGCAUUUCUUUGAUGCAAUUCAUGUUAAACUCUCCACACGCUUAUGGCCAAAACAAAGCCUUUACCGAUCAUAUCGUCGAAGCCAUGAUAAAAUCUCUUGAAGGGAAACUUGAAUUGGAAGUCUCUAUCCCUAGAAAGCUUCAUGAUGAGUGGGAACCUACCAUCAAAAUCAAAAUCAAAAACUAUGAAUGCAAUGCUUCGUGUGAUUUGGGUGCUAGUGUUUCUGCGAUUCCAAAGGCUUUAUGUGAUGUUCUGGGUUUUAAUGAGAUUGAAGAGUGUUCUCUUAAUUUGCAUCUUGCUGAUUCUACUGUCAAGAAACCCAUGGGAAGGAUCAAUGAUGUUCCUAUUAUUGCAAAUAGGAACUAUGUACCCGUGGAUUUCAUUGUGCUUGACAUUGAUUGCAAUCCUACAUGCCCUAUUAUUCUUGGUAGACCUUUUCUAAGGACUAUCGGUGUUAUCAUCGAUAUGAAGGAAGGGAAUAUUAGAUUUCAAUUUCCUUUAAGGAAGGGCAUGGAACACUUUCCUAGAAAGAAAAUAAGAUUGCCUUAUGAAUACAUGAUGAGGGCCACUUAUGGUUUGAGCACCAAAGACAACGAUAUGUGAUUCUAUCGCUUUUAUGCCUAGCUAAGGGCGCUAAACAAUAGCGCUUGUUGGGAGGCAACCCAAUGAAUUUAUCUUUUUCUUUCUGUUUUGUUGCGUCCACACUUUCAUAAUUCUGUUGUGAUUGUGUUUUUUGUGUUUGAGCCAAGCAAAGCAUUUAUGACUAGUCUAGGUAAUGGUUGUUUGAUCCUGCUGGAAAAGACAGAAACUUUUCGAUCACGAGAUGAUUUUUCAUUUUUAUUCAGAAAUAGCUUUUUAGUUGAUUCUUUUUGCUUCUGAUUGAUAUGCUUUUUUCCAGGCCGUCGUAAUGUUUCAGAUUUUUUGAGGUAACAGAAGUAUACGAAGUAUACAGAUUGCUACAGACUGGUCUGUUUUUGUUGAGUUGGUUGCUUAUUUUGAUGAAACUAUUUUUAGUAUCGGGGGGUACUAGCCAUGGAAAAGUGAGAAUACAGUAGCCCAACACCAAUAUAGAUAGAAUUCAAGUUUGCUACAGUACAAAAAGAAGUGGUAGUUUGUUUUCUUGUGCUAAUGUUAUCACGAGUUUCUGUUUAAGUUUUGUGUUGUGAAGUUUUCAAGUUUUGGGUGAUGUUCUCAUGGACGAUGAGAUAAGGAGUGGAAAGAGCUCAAGCUUGGGGAUGCCCAAGGCAUAUCAAGCCAAAUUCAAGGACACCAAAAAGCCUAAGCUUGGGGAUGCCCCGGGAAGGCAUCCCCUCUUUCGUCUUCAAUCCAUCGGUAACAUUACUUGGAGCUAUAUUUUUAUUCACCACAUGAUAUGUGUUUUUCUUGGAGCGUCUUGUAUCUUAGGAGUCUUUCUUUUUGUUUUGUCACAAUCAUCCUUGCUGCACACCUUAUUGAGAGAGAGAGACAUGCACUCAUCGUGAUUUUGCUAGAAUGCUCAUAGUGCUUCACUUAUAUCUUUUGAGCUAGAUAUUUUUGCUCUGGUGCUUCACUUAUAUCUUUUGAGCUAGAUACUUUUGCUCUUGUGCUUCACUUAUAUCUUUAGAGAGCGGCGGUGCAUGAUUUGGUAGUUGGCUUAUGCUAUGAAAGUAGUCCCAAAUGUGAUAGGUACCCAAAGAGGAUACAAAAACCUCCAUCUUCAUGUGCAUUGAAUAGAAAGAGAAGUUUUGAUUCCUCUCAAUUAGUUUUGAGAUGUGGAUUCGGUAAUAUUAAGAGCUAUGUUAGUAGGGUGUUGUGAAUCUAGAAGUACUUGUGUUGAAGUUGGCAAUUCCCGUAGCAUGCACGUAUGGUGAACAGCUAUGUUAAGAAGUCGGAGCAUAAUUGAUAUAUUGAUUGUCAUCCUUUGUGUUGAGGUCGAGAUCGCGCGAUGGUUAACACCUACCAACCCUUCCCCUCGGAGUAGGUAUUUAGCACUUUGUUUCGAUUACUAAUAAAAACUUUCGCAACAAGUAUGUGACUUCUUCAUGACUAAUGUGAGUCCAUGGUAUAGAUGCACUUUCACCUUCCACCAUUGCUAGCCUCUCUAGUGCCGCGCAAUUCUCGCCGGUGCACAAACCCACCAUAUGCCUUCCUCAAAACAUCCACCAUACCUACCUACUAUGGCAUUUUCAUAGCCAUUCCGAGAUAUAAUGCCAUGCAACUCCCACCGUUCCGUCUCAUGACUUGUGCCAUCACUCUCAUAUUGUCAUUGCAUGAUUGUAAGAUAGCUAGCGACAUGUUUCAACGUCAUACGCCAUGCUAGAUCGUUGCGCAUCCCGGUACACUGCCGGAGGCAUUUCCUAUAGAGUCAUCAUCAUUUUGAGCUGUGAGUAAAUAAAAGUGUGAUGAUCAUCAUUAUUAGAGCAUUGUCCCAUGUGAGUAAAUAAAAAAAGAGGCCAAAGAGCCCAAAAAAAAGAGGUCUAAGAGCCCAAAUAAAAAAAGAGAAAAAGAGAGAAGGGACAAUGCUACUAUCUUUUUCCACACUUGUGCUUCAUGAUAGCACCAUGUUCUUCAUGAUUGAGAGCUUCUUACUUUGUCACUACCGCAUGCUAGUGGUAAUCUUCAUUAUAUAACUUGGCUUGUAUAUUCCAAUGAUGGGCUUCCUCAAAAUUGCCCUAGGUCUUCGUGAGCAAGCAAGUUGGUUGCACACCCACUAGUUCUACUUUUGAGCUUUCACAUACUUAUAGCUCUAGUGCAUCUCUUGUAUGGCAAUCCCUACUCAUUCACACUGAUAUCUAUUAAUGGGCAUCUCCAUAGCCUUUUGAUACGCCGAGUCAAUGAGACCACCUCCUCCUUUUUUGUCUCACAAACACAACCACACUCUAUUCCACCUAUAGUUCUAUAUCCAUGGCUCGCGCUCAUGUAUUGUGUGAUAGUUAUAAAAAAAUUAGAAAGUAAGAGUGCGAAAACAAUUACUUGGUUAAUACCGGGGUUGUGCAUGAUUUACACUAGUUGUGUGAGGAUGAUGGAGCAUAGCCAGACUAUAUGAUUUUGUAGGGGUAACUUUCAUUGGCCUUGUUAUUUUGAAAGUUCAUGAUUACCUUGCUAGUUUGCUUGAAGUAUUACUGUUUUCAUGUCAAUAGCAAACUAUUGUUUCGAAUCUUACGGAUCUGAACAUUCAUGCCACAUGAAAGAAGUUGCAAAGGAGAACUAUGAGAGGUAGCAUUCCACAUCAAAAAUUCAUUCUUUAUCACUUCCCUACUCGAGGACGAGCAGGAGUUAAGCUUGGGGAUGCUUGAUACGUCUCCAACGUAUCUAUAAUUUUUGAUGGUUUCAUGCUAUUAUCUUGUCAAACUUUGGAUGUUUUGUAUGCCUUUUAUAUAUUUUUUGGGACAAACUUAUUAACUCAGUGCCAAGUGCCAGUUCCUAUUUUUCCCAUGUUUUUGACACCUUUCAGAGGAGAUUUUGAAACAUAGUCCAAACGAAGAAAAUCCUCGAAAUGAUUUUUUUUGGAAUGGAAGAAGAUCGGGAAGCUUGGGAGCCAAGGCAGGGGAGCCUCAGGGGACCCACAAGCCCCCACCCCGCGACCAGGGGGAGGCCGCGCCAUCCAGGCUUGUGGGCCCCAUCAGCGCCCCCUGACCUAGGGGUUGCGCCUAUAUAUUCCCUAAAAAUCCCAAAAAAAUCAGGAGAUCAUCGAAAGUACUUUUCCGCCGCCGCAAGCUUCUGUCUCCGCAAGAUCCCAUCUAGGGCACGUUCUGGUGCCCUGCCGGAGGGGAGAUUCGGACACGGAGGGCUUCUUCAUCAACACCAUGACCUCUCCGAUGAUGCGUGAGUAGUUCACCAUAGACCUACGGGUCCAUAGCUAGUAACUAGAUGGCUUCUUCUCUCUCUUGGAUCUUCAAUACAAAGUCCUCCAUGAUCUUCAUGGAGAUCUAUCCGAUGUAAUCUUAUUUUGCGGUGUGUUUGUNGCGCGGUUCUAUCAACUACUCGAUAGUAAUUUGUUCACCCACCGUAAUACUUGCUAUUUUGAGAGAAGCCUCUAGUGAACACUAUGGCCCCUAGGGUCUACUGCACACCAUAUUUUCAGCCUUACACUUUUUACUUCGUUGCACUUUCCGCCUUCAGAUCUCACUUUGCAAACAAUCUUGAAGGGAUUGACAACCCCUUUGAAGCGUUGGGUGCAAGCUUGUUUGUGUUUGCGCAGGUACUCUGGACUUGACGAGGCCCUCCUUCUGGAUCGAUACCUUGGUUCUCAAACUGAGGGAAAUACUUACUACUCCUGUGCUGCAUCUCCCUUUCCUCCUCAAGGGAAAAACUGACGCAAACCAGAGAAGUAACAAGAAGAAUUCCUAGGCGCCAAGGAAGGACUUUUGUUGCCGUAGCAAUCAUCACACAAAGUGUACAAGAUGUACCGAGAGGGAUCAAGUGAUCCCAUGGUAUGGUAAGAAUUGUCCAUAAUGCUUUUGUGUACUAGCCCAUGGUCCUUGUGAGAGUUCUAUGUGGGGUUAGGUGUGUCUCCAUGUGUUUGCGUCAAGAGGAAGAUCUCAUUCAACCUAUGAAGGAUGUCAUCAAGUGGUGAUCGUCAUCAAGAUUGCGGUGUGCAAGUUCAAGUGGAGCAUCAUGAAGAUAUCAUGCUUGAAGCUUUCCGUCCAUUGUGGUGGCAACGGACUUGUGAAGAUGUGCUGAAGAGUGGCUCACCCGUAGUUAGUAUGGGGGAGCAAUCAAUUGUCUUCAUCAAACCAAGGCAAUGAAGAAAGGUGGUCCAUCUUGAGUAAGCCAAGAUCAUCAUCGUCUAGCUCAAGAGGACCAGGUGCAAGGUAUAGGUUUGCCCUUGAUAGGUUUUCUAUUUCAGGAUAGAUUGUCGUACUGUCAAGGUUGGCUCUCAAGUGAGUAGCUUGAUCGCAUCGUUCAUUGAGAGCUUAAACAAUUUGCAUCCGUGCAUCAUACUUCUUGGUUUUUGUUUGGUGUUUCUCUUUGUUAGUUUCAGAUCUUAUGGUCAUCUUCAUGACAAGCUCGAGUUCAUCGAAAACGGAGUCCAUAUGCAUCUUCUAUGAUGUUUUCGAUGUCGGAAGUUUUUACCGGUCUUAUUCGAGGAAGGGUUCUCACCAUUUUCUCAUGGGCCUUUUCUCCCUUGCUUCUUAUUGAUAUUUCUAUCAAGAUUGGGUUAACCCAUGUCAUUAGCUUUCUAACAAACUUAGUUUCAUUGAAUUCAGAGUCGGUAUGCGAAAGUUAAGGCAGUUUCUGUGGCGAAUAGUAGUACCGUUUGUGCCGAGCGGUCGUACCGCUCCGUCGGACUUAAUUUGCGCAUCCUUUUUGCCUCGGCAUGGCUGGUGAACCUCCCGAGCGGUAGUACCGCUCCGUCGAACUUUAUUUGCGCAUCCUUUUUGCCUCAGCGUGGCUGGUGAACCUACCGAGCGGUAGUACCGCUCUCUGCGGGUUGUGAAGCAUAACGGUUGGAUUUUUCCUCACCUAUAAAAGGGGGCCUUCUUCCCCAUUGAACCUUAUCUCUUCAGCUUGUGUUCUUCCCCCAUUCUUAACCUUCUUCGAGCUUGCUAACUCUCAAUCCCUCCAAUGAUUCUUGCUAGUUCUUGAGGGAAAAGAGAGAGGAGAUCUAGAUCCACAUUUCCACCAAUCACUUUCUCCUCUAAGUGAGGGGAACCCUUUGGGUAUAGAUCUUGGAGUUCUUCGUGUUCUUCUUUGUUCUUCCUCUCAUUUUCCUCCCUAGCAUUAGUUGCUUUGGUGGGAUUUGGGAGAGAAGGACUUGGGCACUCCGUGUGCCCUUUUCAUUGCAUUUGAUGCAUCGGUUUGAGUUCUCCACGGUGAUACCUGGAAGUGAGAAGUUGAGAAGCUUAUUACCCUUGGGUACUUGGUACCCCUAGAAGCUUGGUGGUGCAUCGGAGCUCAGCCAUUGUGGUGUAAAGCUCCGGGCAAGCGUCGGGGUCUCCAGUUAAGUUGUGGAGAUUGCCCCGAGCAUGUGUGAUCACCUCGAACCCAUAUGCCAUUGUGGUGAAGCUUCGUGGUGUUGUUGGGAGCCUCCAAUUAAGUUGUGGAGAUUGCUCCAAUCUUGUUUGUACGGGUUCAGUGACCGCCCUCAAGGGUCCCUUAGUGGAAUCAUGACAUCUUGCAUUGUGCAAGGGCGUGAGGAGAUUACGGUGGCCUUAGUGGCAUCUUGGGGAGCAUUGUGCCUCCACACCGCUCCAACGGAGAUUAGCAUCUGCAAGGGUGUGAACUUAGGGAUACAUCAUCGUCUCUGCGUGCCUCGGUUAUCUCUUACCCGAACCCUUUACUUAUGCACUUUACUUUGUGAUAGCCAUAUUGUUUCUUGUCAAAUAUCUUGUUAUCACUUAGUUGUUUAUCUUGCUUAGCAUAAGUUGUUGGUGCACAGAGUUGAGCCUAGUUGUUUUAGGUUUUGUGCUUGACAAAUUAAACGUUAGUUUUAUUCCGCAUUUGUUCAAGCCUAAACCGUAAUUAUUUUAAAGCGCCUAUUCCCCCCCCCCCCCUCUAGGCGACAUCCACGUCCUUUCAGCUCGCAAGGGACCAACCCAGCGCUCCCGUAACCGAUCAUCGCCAGGACUCCACCCCGAACCGGACUACCACCGCCUGCGCUCGCCAGGACUUCUUUCCGCGAGUAGAUAGCCCAGGGACCCCGAUCCCGUGCCCCGACGUUUCCCUGUUGCCGCAGAAUCGCACCUCUCCGAUUCGUUCUAUCGCCGAGACCUCAGCAUGACGUCGUCGUCGCCGGAGUAGUCCCUGUCGUCAGAGUCCGCCCAGCCAUCACCGUCGUUGGAGCAUCACCGCAGCAGCUUCGCCAGAGUCAGCAGCUUCACCGGAGGAGCUAAGCCUGAGACCGAAGCCACAUGUUUUUCCAUGUUUCUCAUGGUGAGCACGUGAGCGAUCCGAUUCAGCCAGUCUUGACACACACGGGGCAGUUGCUACAGUACCCGAUUAACCCGCAUUUUUUUUUUCUGUUUUAGCUCAGACAGGUUCUCGAUAAUGUGUUCAAACGUGUUUAACUUGAGUUGGACCAGAUUUAGUUUAAACUUAUCGGAGGCCAUAUUUUUCAAACUGUUCGUCCAAACUAAUUGUUUCUUUUUGCUUUAUGACUGUAUCAGCAUGUAGAUGAUUUAUAUCUGUUGUCAUGCUACUUUUGUUUUGGUUUUACAAAACUGUUUUCUUGUUGUUGGUUUUUAUUUGGUGUUAUAUGAAUGUGGUGAUUGAUUGUUGUCAUUGUUUGAAACGUGUAGAUUGCCGGAGUGUGACGCAAACUAUUGUCAGGAGUGUGAUCUUUUGAACCAGAAUCAAGGCAAGUUACAUGUUGAUCAUCCUUCACCUAUUAUUUUUCUAUGCAUGUAGUAUUAUAUCACCCUAUGAAAUUAUGCAUGUAUAGGAAUAUAGUUAUUAUGCUAUGCUAUUAAGCUAUCCCCUCGGCAUUGAAGAUCUUGGUAUUUGUAGAUUGCUAUGCUUUGUAGACGGGCUUGGUUCCUGUAUUCACUGAGUUUAUGUGAGGAUUACUAUGAAAUAAAUUGAGUAGUAAUUAAGGAUAUAAUACACCUCUGGGAGGAUAUGGUAUUGUUGGGUGGUUUCAAGAACAUCAUGGUUUCGACCCUCUGAAUGUAAGCGGAAUGUCGCCCAGGUUCAAAAAGAUCAGACAGACUUAGUGACUAGUAGCUUCCAUGUGCGACCACUGGCUGUAUGGGCUCUGGCUUAGUUGAUCAGUUGUGGGAACAUUACCCGAAUGUGCCAGUAGAUGUAGUUAUGGUAGUUGGGAUGGGCCUCCUAUGGGACUAGGUGACUGCAUCAAGGGGCAUCUCCACAUAAGCCUUUAGCCAUAGGAUCGGGGUCCCUAGGCUAUUGUAAGUGCAUCUAGUGCCCCUUAGUGAUUUUGGUGGUUUGAAGACUUAUAGGUUAGCUAUCUAAUGUGUUCAUGAGUGUACACAGGAUCUAUAAGUCGCUGAGGAGUUUGAAAUAUUCGAUGAAUAUCGACCCCUAAAAAUGUAUAUCUUCGGCUGAAGAAAUUGGUCUGAAGCUGAAGAAUUGAAUUGUGAAGAAAUUGCGAUGAAAUUGAUAUUCCUCAUGAAGAAAUUGAAGAUUAGGAAUUCGGUGUGUCCUGAAGAAAAACAACCUGAAGAUUUUGAAGCAUGAAGAUUUAUUCUCUCUAUUUUAUUUUCUUCACCUUUGAGUCAUAGGAACACCGUACUGUUAAAGGGGGUCAAAGUAACACGUCAGAAUGAAUUUCCUCAUGAUGCUCAACCCAAGCCUAAUCCUACCAAAAGCCUCAAGUGAGAAAUAUGAGAGACAUGAGGACUCUCACAGUUGAGGGUCCCGACCGUUACCGCAAGUCGCGCCACAUCACUGAUCUUAUCCACACCAACGGUCAUAUUAUUUAAGGGCAUUAAGGUAAAAUCAUGUCGGGAUGCUCCCAGGCUAUAAAUAGCCACCCCCACAACCAUUAGCUGGUUGGCUGCUCCGUUGGAAACUGACACUUGUCAUAAGAGCAACCCAAAUUCCUCAGAGUCUUCAAGAGUAAUUCAUCAGUGAGGAAAUACCCCAAACACCAAACCACAAACCGAAAACCAAGUGAUUGAGCAUCACUGAAGAAGUUGUUCCUAUGUGGGACUGAAGCCUUUUACCUUUGAGGACUAUGCAUCCUCUAGACGGUUAGGCGUCAUGGUCUAGAGCAAUCCAGCACUCAAUUGUGGAUCGCCAAGUGACCAAGUUUGUGAGGGUUUGGAAGUCUGUCCUGAAGACUUACCACGAGUGUUGGGCGAGGACUCUGUGUUCUUAGCCCAAUGAGAAUACGGUAGGGACUGUGUGUCCCAGGAUUGUGUGUCUUUUGGUUUCAAUACCAAGCCGCUCCAAACCAGAUGUAAAAUUGUCACAGAAGUUGGAACUGGAUCAUCAACCACUGUCUUCACUGUGAAACGGGUUCUAUUUCUUCAACUCUUUAAAUUCCUCAUACUGUAUGUUGAUGAUUUUCACUGUCACUGUUUGAAGAAUUUGCUGAAGACUUUCUCUGAAAUUCCUCAACCCCAACUUCUUCACGCGAGUUAAUCCUCAUCUGUUUUCUCCGUGCCUGCAUACCGUGCAAACUAUUUUUCAUAUUCUUCACCUUGAAAACUGUUGUAGUGAUACUUUGCACUCCUGAUCCUUUGUUGUUUCCGCUGCAAGUUAGUCAUUAGUGAGGAAUUUCCUCAAACGGAAUUUCCUCAGUGAUGAAAUUCUAAAAAUCUCCUAUUCACCCCCCCCCUCUAGUCGAUAUAACGCACUUUCAAUUGGUAUCAGAGCAAGGUACUCCCUUGUUCUGUGUGAUUUUGGUUUAACCACCUGGAGUUUUAGUUAUGUCGACUACAAACAUGAUCUAGGUUACUGCGGGAUGUCCUACUUUCGAAGGAAAGGACUUUCCCUUCUGGAAGACCGAGAUGCAAAUGCAUCUACAAGCUAUUGACAAUGAUCUCUGGUAUAUUGUGGAACACGGUGUCCCUAUCGUCGCUGCUACUAUCUCUGCCGCUGAUGUGAAGAAAUUCAAGCAACUUGAUUCUCAAACGAAGAAUAUCAUCUGUGGCCAUCUGAGCAAGGGCCAGUAUGGCAGAGUGAGUGCUUUGGGCUCAGCAAAACUUAUCUGGGAAAGGUUGUCCAAAGUUAAUGAAGGAGUAUCAACCCAGCGUGAUUCUCGUGUUGAUGUUCUUCACAAUCUCUUCAAUUGCUUCAAGAGACUUAACAAUGAAAGCUGCCAAGAUACCUUUGAUCGCCUCAGUGACAUAUCAAAUGAACUGGAAGCACUGGGAGCUCGAGACAUUACUGACCAUGAAGUUGUGAAGAAACUGGUAAGAUCUUUGGAUUCUUCAUUUGAUACUUUAGUUCUGAUGAUUCAAGAAAGACUAGACUACAAGAUGCUUGAUCCAGCUGAUAUACUCGAAAGACUCAAUACUCAUGAAUUCCAACAAGAAGAAAAGAGAGAUCUAUAUGGACCAAGCUAUUCUAGACCACGUGCACUGAAGGCCAAAGCAAUUUCCUCAUCUGAAGAAGAAGUCUCGGAUGGUAGCAUUGGUGAUCCUGAAGAAUUUGGACAGGAGCUUGCAAUGCUCAUGAGGAAAUUCCAGAAGUUUACACGACGUGGCCAGUUUGGUAAAUCUUCAAUAAGAGAUAUGAGGAAAUCAGAAUCUUCAUCUGAGGACUACAAGAAAAGAACCUGCCACAAAUGCAAGAAAUCGGGUCACUACAUUGCUGAUUGUCCUCGUUGGGGAAAGGAAUCAAAGAAGAAGAAAUACAAGGAUGAAAGUUAUGAUGACUCGAAGAAAAAGAAGAAAUCUUCAAAAUCCUCAUCUUCAAAGUCCUCAUCGCACAAGAAGACUAUUUUCAGAAAGGCUGGGGCACUUAUUGGCAAGGAAAUGGAUUCUGAGGCAGAAUCCGAGGAAUGUGAUGAAGAGGAGGGUUAUGAUGAAGACUCAGAAUCUGGACAGGCUAGCCUUGCACUUGCAACCACAUUUGUCAGCAAGUCAAUCUUCAACCUUGAAGAAAAUGAUAACACCAUCCACAUUGAUGACUAUGCUGAUGACUUCGCUCCAACCUAUUGCUUCAUGGCAAAAGGUUUAAAGGUACCGAAUGAUGCUUCCUCCUCUGAUUCAAGUGACUAUGAACCUGAUGAUUAUAAAAAACCCAGUUACAGUAAACUUGCUAUCAUUGCCACUAAACAACAAACUGCCCUGGAAAAGCUUCAGAAACUGCUAGACGGAAGUGAUGAUCUGUUGAAUGAUGAAAUGAAUCUUACCCAAAUCCUCACUGAAGAUAUGAAAAGUCUUUAGUCCAGAUUUGAUAAUCUUCAAGAUCGUCAUGUUACACUCCUUGCUGAUCAUGAGAAACUUUCCUAUGAAUUUCUUCAAAGGAAGCUUGAUCUUGAGAAGCUAAGGAUUUCUCAUGACGAUCUUCGUAUGGAAAAUGAUUCAUUACUAGCUCAACAGAUCAGUGCUGCUCAAGCUGAAUUCAUUCCUCCAUGUCUUAAAUGCAUCGAAUGUGAAACUGCUAAUUCUUCACCAGAAUCAUCAAAUGCUUCUAUUGCUACAAAUUCUUCAACUGCCCCUGUAGUGUCAAAUUCCUCACUUGAGGAAACCACAAAUGUCACUGAUGAAAAUGCUGGGCUGAAGGAAUUGUAUGUGACAGGCAUAUACAAAAGUCUCAAAGGACACCAAACCCUUUGUGAUGUGCUCAAAAAGCAGAUCUUGAACAGGAACCCGAGGAAAGAAGGAAUUGCCUUUGAGAGGAAAUUGAAUGCUGAUGGAUCAUACUGGAAACCUGAGCAGUAUCCCAAAACCUCAUGGGUUGCUUCUACUGGGCCUCCUUUUGAUCCAUCCAAUCUAACAGGCUUUUCAUGUGAUAUAUCCUAUUCCUCAGAUGAGUCAUUUGACUCCAACUAUAAACUGUUCAAAAAUCAAUCUGGUGAAGUAUUUGCUCGAUAUGUUGGAACUAACUGCAGGAAUGGGCCUCUCCUGAGGAAGAUCUGGGUUCCCAAAAGUUGCCUUGAAAAUCUUCAGGUGAAUGUACUCAUGACACCACCUAUGAAGAAUUUGAACCGCAGAUCAAAUUCCUCAGGAGGACCAAAGUCUUCAAGAGGAUCAAAAUCUUCAACUGGUCAAAACUAUGCUCGUACCCGUGCUAAUGCUUCUAACAUGCAGGGAAAUUACAAGGAAUAUGAAUAUGAGUGUUAUUCUUCAAAUCAUUAUGUUCAUAAAUCCUCAAAUAAGUUCUCUACAUAUUCAUUUGAGUACUUUAACCCCCCUACUGUUAAGAGAAGUGCAUUAGCUUCAAUGCCCCCUUUCUCAUAUGGUGCUCGCAGAAUGAUGAAUGCUUUACCACCCCUUCAGAUGUGGGUGGUGAAGAAAUUGAACUAAUCACUUCUGCAGGUCAGGUCUCUAGAUGAAAAUCGUCAUGUGAAGAAUUUGCUGGAAACCUGAGGAAAACGCUUGAUGGGACGCAAGCUAAUAUUUAUGAAAUAGAAAUAUUUCACACGUCCUUAUAAUUCUAUUUAUGAUGAAAUUCCUAUCUGAUGAAAUUGAUAUCAUAUUCUUCAAGUCCGAAGCAUAUGAGAUGGUAAACUGUACUAAUUCAUCUGCAGGAUGACAAACCCAAGAGUACUGAGUGGGUUCUUGAUAGUGGCUGCACACACCACAUGACUGGUGACCAAAGCUUGUUGAUGAAUAUGCCACUAACUCCAUCACCCCUGAAGCAAAUCACAUAUGCUGACAAAGGUAAAAGCAAGCUAUUGGGACUUGGCAAAGUGGCUAUUUCCAAGGAUAGGCACAUGGACAAAGUAAUGCUUGUUGCAUCCCUUGGAUUUAACCUCAUUUCAGUCUCAAUGCUUUGUGAUCUUGAUAUGAUUGUUAUCUUUGGAAGAUAUAGAUGUGUUGUCAUCAUGGAAUCUGAUAGAUCCAAAGUCUUCGAAGGUGUUAGAAGAGGGGAUUGUACAUUGUUGAUUUCUCUACAGGUCCUCAACCAGCCACUUGCUUACUAGCAAAAACCUUAGAAGGGUGGUUGUGGCAUCGAAGACUUGGUCAUGCAGGCAUGAGGAAUUUGCACACGCUCGCGGAGAAGAAGCAUGUCAUCGGCACCGAAUCAGUCAAAUUCCUCAAGGACCACCUCUACGGUGCUUGUGAGUCUGGGAAAAUGACCAGAUCCAAGCACCCCUCGAAGACUAUCAUGACUAGUACUCGUCCAUUUGAAUUGAUUCACAUGGAUCUAUUUGGACCUACUCAUUAUGCCACCCUAACAAAUGCAGCAUCUUUAUAUGGCUUUGUCAUAGUUGAUGAUUAUUCUAGAUACACAUGGGUGCAUAUCAUUUUAUAUAAAACUGAAGUGCAGGAAGUCUUCAAACGAUUUUCCUCAAGGGCCUCGACGAACUUCGGCGUCAAGAUCAAACACAUCAGGAGUGAUAAUGUAACAGAGUUUAAAAAUACUAGUCUUGAUAAUUAUCUUGAUGAACUUGGUAUUACUCACGAAUUGUCUGCUCCUUAUACUCCUCAACAUAAUGGCGUCUUCGAAAGGAAGAACGGGACUCUGGUUGAGAUGGCAAGAACCAUGCUUGAAGAAUAUCAAACUCCUCGUCGCUUUUGGCCUGAAGCAAUUAACAUUGCAUGCCAUAUCAUCAACAGGGUAUAUCUUCACAAAUUCCUCAAGAAAACCUCAUAUGAACUCCUCACACACAAGAAACCCAAUGUAAGUUAUUUCAAAGUCUUCGGUGCAAAAUGCUAGAUUAGAGAUCCUCACCAUAGCUCAAAGUUUGCACCUAAGGCACAUGAGGGUUUUAUGCUCGGUUAUGGAAAGGACUCACACACCUACAGAGUCUUCAACACCUAUCACAACAAAGCUGUUGAGACUGUAGAUGUGCAGUUCGAUGAAACUAAUGGCUCGCAAAGAGAGCAAUUGCCUCCUGGUCCAGAUAAGUUGUCUCCUGAGGAAGCAAUAAAGCUCAAAGCUACUGAAGACAUUGUUCCUACUGAGGAAAUUGAUGAAGAGAUCAUUCCCAGCACUGAUGAAAAUCAAGAAGAUGCUCCUGAGAAAAUAGCUCCUGAACCAAUUCCUCAGCCCAGACGAAAUCCUCAACCAGCUCAUCCGAGGAUUGCAAAUGAAGUGGAACUUGAAAAAAUCCUCAAUGACAUCAACGCGUCAGGUCCUCUCACUCGCUCAAAGCUUCACACUUAGUUAACUUUUGUAGGCAUUUCUCCUUUGUGUCUAUCACAGAACCUUCAAAAGUUGCUGAGGCUUUCAUGGAACCGGAGUGGAUCCAAGCCAUGCAAGACGAACUUCUUCAAUUCAAGUUGAAUGACGUAUGGGAGCUCGUCAAACGACCAGAUCCUCGCAAGCACAAUAUCAUCGGCACCAAGUGGAUUUUCCGAAACAAGCAAGAUGAGGAUGGUCAAGUGGUGAGGAAUAAGGCGCGACUUGUAGCCCAAGGCUACACACAGGUUGAAGGAAUUGAUUUCGAUAAAACUUUUGCACCUGUUGCUAGACUUGAAGCUAUUCGAAUAAUACUUUCUUAUGCUAAUCAUCAUAACAUUAUCUUAUAUCAAAUGGAUGUGAAAAGUGCAUUCCUCAAUGGUAAGCUUGAGGAAGAAGUAUAUGUUGCUCAGCCCCCAGGUUUUGAGGAUCCAAAGAAUCCACACAAAGUCUUCAGACUCAAAAAGGCACUCUAUGGUCUCAAGCAAGCCCCUCGGGCGUGGUAUGAUACAUUGAAGGAAUUCCUCAUGAAGAAAGGCUUCAAACCUGGUUCACUCGAUCCAACUCUUUUCACUAAAUCCUAUGAUAAUGAACUAUUUGUGUGCCAGAUAUAUGGCGAUGACAUCAUAUUUGGCUGUACUAACAAACGUUACAGUGAUGAAUUUGCUUACAUGAUGAGUGAAGAAUAUCACAUGUCUAUGAUGGGGGAGCUGAAAUUCUUCUUAUGUAUUCAAAUUCGUCAACAACGCAAUGGAAUCUUCAUAUCACAGGAGAAAUACCUCAAGGAUGUUCUGAGGAAAUUCGACAUGUAUGAAUGCAAAGGUGCCAAGACUCCAAUGCCUACCAACGACCACCUCUGCACUGACGAAAAUGGUAAAGAAUUCGAUCAGCAGGUAUAUCUCCCCAUGAUUAGCUCUUUACUGUAUUUGUGUGCAUCUAGGCCAGAUAUAAUGCUUAGUGUUUGCAUGUGUGCACGUUUUCAAGCAAAACCGAAGGAAUCACACCAUAAGGCUGUGAAGCAUAUUCUUCGAUACUUAGCUCACACACCAACACUAGGAUUAUGGUACCCCAAGGGCUCAAAUCUUCAUCUUGUGGGAUAUUCUGAUUCUGACUAUGCUGGUGACCGUCUGGAUCGCAAGUCAACCUCCGGCACAUGUCAUUUCCUCGGAAGAUCACUAGUGUGCUGGUCCUCAAAGAAGCAAAACUGUGUUUCACUCUCCACUGCCGAAGCUGAGUACAUUGUUGCUGGUUCAUGAUGUGCUCAAUUACUAUGGAUGAAGCAAACCCUCAAGGACUACGGCAUCAACAUGAAGAAUGUGCCUCUCUACUGCGACAAUGAGAGUGCAAUCAAGAUUGCAUACAACCCAGUACAUCACUCGAAGACUAAGCACAUCCAGAUUCGUCACCAUUUUCUUUGGGACCAUGUCCUCAAGGGCAAUAUCCUCAUCGACCAUGUGAAGACUGACGAUCAACUCGCAGAUAUCUUCACUAAGCCCUUGGAUGAGAAAAGGUUUUGCAAGUUGCGGUGUGAGCUAAAUAUCUUAGAAUCUUCAAAUGUUUUGUAAAAACAUGCACACAUCCUAACACUUAUGAAUAAUUGAUGACUUAGAUGUGCAACACACGAAGAAUCGAUUUUAUUCAACCAAUGAAGAAUAUCACUCUUAGUGUGCGGAAAUCAACGAAGAAAUUGAUUCUCAAGGCCCUACGACAAUUGUACGCAGCGUCUGAAAUCAACAUUCUUAUAUGGUGGGUCACGCCACCAUCCAACUUGAAAUUCCUCAAGUUGAAUUUCUUCAAAGUUGAUUUUCUUCAAAGCAGUUGUUCUUCAAACUUGUCUUUCUUCAAAACUGAAAUUCAUCAUCACGACGCUUUGUCACAAAAUCCUCAAGUUAAUCAAAAUCUUCAAAAACACUUGAUGAUUUUCAUUUGCCUAGAUAUAUAUAUAGACUGUGAUUUCAAAGUCCUCAACAGCAUUCACUUAUAGCUAUUUCUUCAAUUUGAUAUUUCAUCUAAGUGAAUGUGAUCGGACCCUACUUUCCCUCCAUGCUACUCUCACCCAGUCUAUUCAAUUCUUCAUAUGCGUUCUACUUGAAACUUUGUUCAAAAUCCUCACCGCGUCCUUGUCAGCUGAUGAUUUUGUAACAAAAUCCUCAGAUCUUCAAAAAUGAUUUUUAUAUUGUUACACAGUAACUGAACCCCACUUCCCACGAUCACCUAAGCACGAUCUCCACCGCUUUAAACGGUUGUUACACGUGUCAUGCGGAGACGAAAGGACAGGGGUAGUUCGGUCCGAAAGAAUCGGCCAGACAGUUUUCACCUGGGCUAUAAAUAUGUCCUUAGCCCCCUCGGUCAAAACUCUUCGCUCUCUCUCUCUCGACCUCCUCUCCGCUACACCAAAGCCCUAGCGCCACCGCUAGAAGUCUCGUCGCCGGCGAGGAAAAGAUUGACUGUCUCGACCUCUCCGUCGCCGAAAUAACGUCAGAACCAGAUCAUCUUCGUCCGCCGCCGCCGUAGUUGUCCUCUGUUGCCGAGUUAGGGCGCAGUGGACUCCUACCGAAGAGCAUCUACUGCUACUUCUUUCUCUGUUCUUCGUGAGCGCUAUAUAGGGUAAAUAAAAACCCUAUUUUUACAGCCCUUUCGAUCUACUAUUUUACGUAGAUUUGUGAAACCUGUUUUUCCUCAAGUGUCCAUCAGUCUCUAUUCCUCAAACACUGCUUAUUCCUCAACCCACUGGUUAAAUUCCUCAACUUUAAAAAAAAUCAUUUCAUCAAAUCUGAGAACGCAUAUGACCUCUCCAAAUUUCUCGCAACUAUACUCUAUUCACACGUACAAAAAUGUCAGCUGAUGAAUCUCUAGGUUCUGAUCAACUUAACUCAUUUGCAGCGUUUCUUGAAGAAAAUCUGCAAGUUUCAUCGGAAUCCUCAAGAGUUCAUUUUCCUCAGCAAAAGCCUCAGCUGAAGAAAAUGGAAGAUGAAAGGAAGCAAAAGGGUGGCAAGAAUCUUGAACAGAACACAGCCAUCGAUAUUCCUGAGGACAUAUACCUCGAAUACUGUACACCUGAUGAGCAAGAGACAAUUCCCAAGAGGAAGAUAAGGCUUCAGAAGAUAGAACGCCGGUGGGCUAAGGAGUGGAAAGAAUACAGAUUCGUCACUCCCAAGUACGCGAAGAAAUUCGCUCUUAAGCCUCCUGGCAAACGGCCUCCUCUUGAGGAUUAUCAGGAUGCACACCCCUCAAGCCUCAAGACAAUUGAUGACUAUCCUGAGGAAAAGACAAAACAUUUGUCAAAGCUUCAGAAGCAGGCAGAAGCUGUUGUGAGGAAAUUUAAUGAAGAAUCUGUUGCUGCUGCUACUGCCGCCACCUCCUCUGCAGCUGAAACUUCUGGCACAGCCAUUCCUCAAAUGAAGUCGGUGCCACCAAAACCAAAGGCUUCAAAGCCUCGGGAGAAAAUGCUUCCGAAAGCUGCACCAGCAUCCGCACCAAAACUCUCAGCACCACCAAAGGCUUCAAAGCUUGAACACAAGCAGAUUGUGAAGCAACUGCCUACUGUCUCUAGCUCCUCUGUUCCUUCUGCAACAAGCUCUGAGACAAAGUCUUCACCAACUCCAAUGAAGACUAAGGUGACUGCUGGGAGAGGAACCAGACCAAGCCCUGGCUAAAUCAUCAAAGUCCCUUCUGCAUCAGAAGGCAGUGAUGAAUAUGAUGAUGAGACUCUGCAAGCCAUCAUCAGAAACAAGCAGGAGAGGGUAGCACAAGCUUCAGGCAGCGCCAUUCCUCUGGCCAUGGACCCAAAAGUCCUCUUGGAUUACAUCAACAUAUGGUAUGAGGACCCCAACACUCCUAUUGAUGAUUUGAAGCUUCCUCCAGGCAUCAGCCACAUGGUGGCCACUUUCAUCAAUGAGGCCAAGUGGAAGGAGACACAAGCCAAACAAGCUAAGGCUGCGAAGCUCAAAAAAGGAGAAAUUCCUCAGACAGAAUCUCCUCAACUUGACGCCUGAUGCACUUGUGUCCACUCAGGCAGAAUUGAAGACUUUGACUGACAAGUACACCAAGCUCUCUGAUCGUCAAAGUCUCAAGAACAAUUUCAUCAAAUUUGCUACAGAUGCAGUUGAUAAUUACAACAAGAAGGCUGCCCCUCCAGCAACAACACAACAGCCUGAGAUUGAGGAACCACAAACUGCCCCUGCUGAGGAAAUCCCUCAAGAAAGUCGUGCUGAUGAACCGGCUAUUGAGGAAAUAACCAAGGAAACUCCAACUGAUGACUCUGCUCCAACUGAUGAAACUGCUCCAGCUGAUGCAUCUAAGCCAGCUGAUGACUCUGUUCCAGCUGAAGAAACUGCUUCAGCUAAGGAAAGUGCCAGGACGGAUGUGUCUCCGCCUCCUGAAGAGAAAAUGUCUUCACCAAAAUCUUCAAAUGUGAAGAAAAUGACUCCGUCUGCAUCAGACGUGAAGAAGACGAGCUGCUGAAAAGGAAGCUAAAAAGAGAAAAGCUUCCUCAACAGAAGAAUCAACUAAGACCAAGCGCCUCAAAUCUCUUGAUGAAAAUGGUCCUCUGGAGCAUGUGCCUCUCAACAUUGCUCCAUCUUAUGAGAUGACUCCCUUCGAAAGCAAAGACAAGGAGCACUUGACUGAUCAGGAAAUGAAGAAUGCUGCGUCUGAGGAACACACUGAUGAGGAAAUUCAGAUUGAUGACGGUCCUCAGACCUUCAUUCCUCCUGAAGAACCUGCUCAAGGAUCAGCUGAACCAGUUGAUGAAUUUGGCUCCUCCACCAAGCAAACCCCUCAAGCUGAGGAAAAUCAAGGAGAAAAUCUUCAGCCUGAAGAAAAUCCAAAUCUUGAGCAAAACCCUCAACCUGAGGCUCAGGAUGAAGAUAUUCCUCCUCCUGAGCAAAAUCCUCAACCAGAGGCUCAAGUUGAUGACAUUCCUCAACCAGAGAAAGAUCCUCAACCUGAAGCACAAGCAGAAGAAAUUCCUCAUCCUGAGGAACAUGCUGAAGAAAAUGCCCCUGCACCAAAUCCAGAGAAUGCUCUAGUCGUUAUCAAUCCAGAAACUGCGAUGAUUGUCUCCCCUCAAGGGAAGAAGCAAAACCUUCAGCCGAAGCAACGUCAGCCAUUCUCCAAGCGGCCAAAGUUUCAAAAGGAAUCCUUCUUUGAGGAACGCAUGUAUCUCAUCGAAGAAAAUCCUUAUGAAAAGCCUCGCAUCAGGCACCUGAAGUUCUGGACCAGGACUCAGCUCAACUACUAUGCAUCCGUGAUGUGUGGAAGAAACAAGAUUUUUCAGCACAGGCAUAUUCCUCGUGUUGAGCUUGAACAAAUCCCGGGCUUUGCCCCAGUCCUCAACGUUCUUCAUGAAGCAGGACUGCUCCCUAUGUGCUCUGAUAUUUGUGAUUGGAAUAGUGACGUUGUUCUUCAAUUCUAUGCAACUCUACACAUCUCUGGAGAUCCAUCAGAUAUCAACACUUGGGUGCUGGAUUGGAUGACGCAGCACACACACUUCAAGGCCCCUACGAAUGAGCUGCUGCGAGAACUUCCUGUGUCAAUUCCUUCAGAGCAGGCUAUGAAGAUGUAUGAUGAACGGGAGCUGCCGAAUAAGCUGAUGGAAGUCCUCAUGAAGCCUUUGGCCAAGGGGCAACCACCAAGAACAACCUUCUUGGUCCAUGAGCUGAAGUAUGAACCCAGGACUGUUUACAGAAUCCUGUGUAGUAUUCUUGCGCCAAUCAAGGGUCAUGAUGAUGAAGAAGACGUUGUAGGCAUCAUGAAGAAUAUCCUCUUCAACAUCAUCCAUGGCAUUCCCAUCAACAUUCAUGAUUUCUUCUUGAGGACUCUGGUGGAUAAUGCUAUGUCCCCUUUUGACCUGAAGAUUUACGCUUCAUGGAUCAUGAGAUUCAUCAGACGAAGGUCGGGCAUCAACUAUCACGCUGAUUUCAAUAAUCACCAAGGAUAUAUGCCUCCACUAAGGGUCAACAAGAAGACUUUCGAGCCUGUUGAAGGAAAAGCAAAGUUUGUGAUUGAUGAAGGCAGUCAGCCCCUUGAUGGCCAGCUCCGAGAGCCAGAUGCAUAUUACUCGUGGGAUGACACUGAAACCCAUCCACCAAGUCCUGUUGCUCCAAGGGUGAUGAAUACCAGAGAGCUUCUCCUAAGUCUUCACCAAAAGGUUGAUCGAAAUCACAAGUGGGUCAAACACCAGUUCGGCGCCAUUGUGAAAACCCUCAAUGAGACUCAGAAUGCCGUGAAGCUUAAUCAUCAUUAUCUUCAUGAGGUUUUUGAUCGCACCUGGGCCACACUGGCUCAUUUGAAGACUCCAGCAGAACUUGAAGAAUUGGAGUUUGCACAGGACUUCGACUGGUCAUGGCCACCAAAGAAGAAAUUCAAGCCAAUUCCAGUUCCGGACCUUGAGGACAGUUCGUUUUCUUCAUUCCACACUGCUGAAUCAGAUGAAGAUCAACAAGACACUGCCACUGGUCCAAGGAGGAAGUUUGCUUCCAAGAAUCCUCACGCAUCUUCAUCAACUGCCAAGAAGUGAAAGUCUUCACGGGAUGUUAGUCCUCAGUUUGUCCCUUUUUGUCACUUGAUGACAAAGGGGGAGAAAUCUGAGAGUUAGUCUUCACGUGGGGAUAUAUUUUGGGGCUUAUAAACUUUAUUUAAGUUACAAACUCUUGUCUCGUCUGAAGUGUUUUAUGUAAUGAGUUGUAACUUAAGCCCGAUGGUACUCUGACGCUUUUGAACAUUUUUCUUCGCAUGCUUAUUCCUCAAAAUAUUAAUGCACGUAUGCUGGAAUUCGUCAGAUACCAUUUCUCAUCAUGCAUUCUCAAUUUCUUCAUACUAUAUGCCAAAUGUAUGCAUGAUUUACAAGACUCACGGGGAGAUCUCCAUGAUAUAAAUCAUCAAUGUGAAUUUGCUGUGAAAAGCAAAACCCUCAAGAUAUGCACAUCUUCAGGGGGAGUCUCUCUGAAUCUUGAUUUCAAAUUCCUCAAAUGAGUAUUUACACUCCAUAUUUUUAUCCCCGUUGAAGACUUAACCUAAUUGUCAUCAACCACCAAAAAGGGGGAGAUUGUAAGUGCAUCUAGUGCCCCUUAGUGAUUUUGGUGGUUUGAAGACUUAUAGGUUAAGUAUCUAAUGUGUUCAUGAGUGUACACAGGAUCUAUAAGUCGCUGAGGAGUUUGAAAUAUUCGAUGAAUAUCGACCCCUAAAAAUGUAUAUCUUCGGCUGAAGAAAUUGGUCUAAAGCUGAAGAAUUGAAUCGUGAAGAAAUUGCGAUGAAAUUGAUAUUCCUCAUGAAGAAAUUGAAGAUGAGGAAUUCGGUGUGUCCUGAAGAAAAACAAUCUGAAGAUUUUGAAGCAUGAAGAUUUAUUCUAUCUGUUUUAUUUUCUUCACCUUUGAGUCAUAGGAACACCAUACUGUUAAAGGGGGUCAAAGUAACACGUCGGGAUGAAUUUCCUGAUGAUGCUCAGCCCAAGCCUAAUCCUACCAAAAGCCUCGAGUGAGGAAUAUGAGAGACAUGAGGACUCUCACAGUUGAGGGUCCCGACAGUUACCGCAAGUCGCACCACAUCACUGAUCUUAUCCACACCAACGGUCAUAUUAUUUAAGGGCAUUAAUGUCAAAUCAUGUCGGGAUGCUCCGAGGCUAUAAAUAGCUGCCCCCCACAACCAUUAGCUGGUUGGCUGCUCUGUUGGAAACUGACACUUGUCAUAUGAGCAACCCAAAUUCCUCAAAGUCUUCAAGAGUAAUUCAUCAGUGAGGAAAUACCCCAAACACCAAACCACAAACCGAAAACCAAGUGAUUGAGCAUCAAUGAAGAAGUUGUUCCUGUGUGGGACUGAAGCAUUUUACCUUUGAGGACUGUGCAUCCUCCAGACGGUUAGGCGUCAUGGUCUAGAGCAAUCCAGCAGUUAAUUGUGGAUCGCCAGGUGACCAAGUUUGUGAGGGUUUGGAAGUGUGCCCUGAAGACUUACCACGAGUGUUGGGCGAGGACUGUGUGUUCUUAGCCCAAGGAGAAUACGGUAGGGACUGUGUCUCCCGGGACUGUGUGUCUUUUGGUUUCAAUACCAAGCCGCUCCAAACCAGAUGUACAACUGUCAUAGCAGUUGGAACUGGGUCAUCAACCACUGUCUUCACUGUGAAACGGGUUCUAUUUCUUCAACUCUUUAAAUUCCUCAUGUUGUAUGUUGAUGAUUUUCACUGGCACUGUUUGAAGAAUUUGCUAAAGACUUCCUCUGAAAUUCCACAACCCCAAAUUCUUCACGCGAGUUAAUCCUCAUCUAUUUUCUCCGUGCGUGCAUACUGUGCAAACUGCUUUUCAUAUUCUUCACCUUGAAAACUGUUGUAGUGAUACUUUGCACUCCUGAUCCUUUGUUUCUUCCGCUGCAAGUUAGUCAUCAGUGAGGAAUUUCCUCAAAAGGAAUUUCCUCAGUGAUGAAAUUCUAAAAAUCUCCUAUUCCCCCCCCCCCCCUUCUAGUCGAUAUAACGCACUUUCAGCUAUCUGCUCGCGGCUAAAUGCUUAUGUGGAGAUGCCCCUUGAUGCAAGAAAGGAAUAAUAUUGGCUCAAGCUUCAAGCUAGAAGACUCUUCAUUUUAUAUUUGUGAGAAAUCACUUUUGAGUCCAUAGGAAAGCCAAUACUAUUAAAAGGGGAUGAGAUAGUUAAAUGAACGGAUUUCUCAAAAUGCUCAAAGUUAGCCACCGAAAUACUCAUUCAUUUUUCCCACAUAUCCACUCUGUCAAAUUCCAUAUACACAAAUUCGGUGUCACCAACUUUCACAUUUCGGACCCACCGCGUUUGGCCUUAGACAGAAACCCUAGCCAUUCCCACCAAAUCGGUGCAACCGAAUCCAUAUUGGUGCUACCGAGUUUGGGUGACCAACUUUUGGGUGCCUCGAUACACAAAAUCGGAAUUUCCGAGUUCGAGUAUCGGUGCCACCGAGUUUGGUCAUCUGACCGUUAGCCACCUUUUCUGUGUCACCGAGUUUCAUACAUCGGUCUCACGGAGAUUCAAAAGUUGAUGCCUUUAGUGCUAAUUGGUACCACCGAGUUUUUCACUUCAGUGUCACCGAGUUUGCCACUUUGUGAGUAACGGUUGGAUUUUGUGUGAUGCCUAUAUAUACCCCUUCACCCACCUCUCAUUCCUGGGAGAAGCACUCAGAACACACACUUCAUUGCCAGAUCCAUUUUCUAAGAGAGAACCACCUACUCAUGUGUUGAGACCAAUAUAUUCCAAUCCAUCAUUUGAAACUUUAUCUCUAGCCUCCCCAAACAGCUUUCCAUCAAAUCAAUCUCUCCUACCCAUGCAUAUUCAGUGAGAGAGUGAUUUUGUGUUGAGGAGACUAUCUUUAGAAGCACAAGAGCAAGGAGUUCAUUGAUCUACCACGUCUAUUACCUUUUGGAGGGUGGUGCCUCCUAGAUUGGUUAGGUGUCGCUUGGGAGCCUCCUACUUCAUGUUGUGGAGUUGAACCAAGACUUUGACGUGAGCACAAUGAUUGUUCUAUUUGGAGUUUCUUCUUCUUCUUCAUUUAUCUAGGAUGGAUUCCAGGCCGAUAGCUUGGGAUAGCAAGGAUGGAUGUCGUUCUUUUAUCGUUUGUUUUCGUUCGUAUCCGGACCCUAAUCUUCUUCACAAUGAUUGAUUAUGUUGUUGUAUUGAUGUGAUCUUGAUGUAGCUUGUGGUGAGUGUAAGCCAACUCCUUAUACUCAUCUUUUCAGUACAUGUACUCGUAUCGAUAUCCAUUCUUGCGAAACGACGAGAUGCGUUUCUAUCCCUGUCGAGGCCCUCACGCCAAAAUAAGGAUAGGGCAUCUUGGGCCAAUUUGAAACGCACAAGAUGCGAUCCUAUCCUUAUUUUGGCUCGAGGGCCUCGACAGGGAUAGAAGCGCAUCUCGUCGUUUUGCAAGAAUAGAUAUCGUUACAAGUACAUGUACUGAAGAGAUGAGUAUAUGGAAUUGGCUUACACUCACCACAAGCUACAUCAAGUUUAAAUCACUACAACAACAUAAUCAAUCAUCAUGAAGAAGAGUAGGGUCCGACUAAGGACGAAAACAAACGAUAAAAAACGACGUCCAUCCUUGCUAUCCCAGGUUGCCGGCUUCGAACCCAUCCUAGAUCGAUCAGGAAGAAUAAGAAACUCCAAAUAGAACAAUCAUCGCGCUCACGUCAAGGUAUCGCUUUACUUGUACCUGCAACUGGUGUUGAGUAAUCUGUGAGCCACAGGGACUCAGCCAUCUCAUUUCCAAAGGUAUCAAUACUAGCAAAGCAUAAUGGGUGAGGUAUGGUUAAGUGGUGAGGCUGCAGCAAGCGACUAAGCAUUUAUUUGAGGUGGCUAACUUAGAAGUACAAGAAUAAGACGGGGAUGAUCUACGCACAUCGGACGUGAACUAACAAUGAUCAAAUGAAUGAUCCUGAACCCUACUUACAUCUGACAUAACCCACCAUGUCCUCGAUCGGAGAAGGAGCUCAAGAAAGAGACAAUCACGGUUACGCACAGUUUACUUCAAGUUAUCUAGAAUCGGAUGUUAAACAAAGUUUCCAAGUUUGUCACAUAACCGCGGGCACGGCUUUUCGAAAGAUUUAACCCUUUAGGGGUGCUCCAACUAGUCCAUCAUAAGUUACCACCAAUCCACAUAGAAAGCCUCGACCACGAAACUCAUGAUCUCCUCGGAUUCCUUAUUGGAAAACCUCAACUCUGAGACAGCCCAAAGCAUCACCGGAAUCCCGAUGCACAAGAUAUUUCGUAAACGGUAAAACUAAUCCAGCAAGGCCGCCCGGCGUGCCGAUAGAGCCGAUGGGAGCCGCGUAUCUCGUUCUCAGGGCACGACCGGAUGAGCUAGAUGUCGGGUUGGCUCAAACUCCGGGUGACCAGGGGGCGCUCGACAUCGCUCAUGUUGGACCACCACUCAUGAGGACCACUGGCCCGGGAGUUGAUUAAUUUCCUUGGGGGUCGACUAGUCCCUAUGCAAGUUUAUUAGUUAUUAGGCAAAUGUAGUACCAAAGUUGGGCCUUGCCAGACAAGCUUUAACUAAGACGAGUUAUCAAGGGGGUCCCCAUAACAACCCCGAUCGUGUUAGGAGCGCUCAAUUAUGGAAUAUAACACCGGUAGCCGAAACUAAGGCGACAAAGGUGGAACAAAACACCAGGCUAGAAAGGUCAAGCCUUCCACCUUUUACCAAGUAUAUAGGUGCAUUAAUUUAAAUAGCAUUAAUAUGGUGAUAUAACAAGGAUCCCAUGUUAUCACAUGGAAGCAACUGCACCUGCAACUAGCAACGCUAUCCAAUGGUUAAGCAACCGGUAACAUAGCCAUUUAGUGGUUUGCUAGGUUGUAGAAAGGUUGAAGGUUUUUAUGGCAAUGUUGGAAGGCUUAUUAAACAGGUGGUAGGCAUUGAGACAUAGCGAUAGAAAUGAAACAACUAGCAUGGCAAUGAUAGUAAUGGUAUCUAGGGAAAUGAUCAUCUUGCCUGUGAUCCGGCCUGGAAGAAGAACGAAACCCUCAAGUAGACGAACCAACAUAGUCGAACGGAUCCUCACACUCUGAAGCGGAUCGGAGCUCUAUCGAGAAGAAGCAGACUGGAAAAAGAAUCAACACACGAUAUUCACCACGACACAUGCACGAUAUGAUGCAAAACCUAAUAUGAUGCAUGUCCAUUUCAAUUAUGCAAGGCAUGGCAUGGCAAUUCACAACAUCAAACACUACACAUUAAGUGAAGCUCAAUAUGCAACGAGUUGCAUAUUGACGAAACUCCACAUUCGAAUUAUUUAAUUCACUCCCGUUUAGGUACACGACAAUUUUAAAAUAUUGUUCACAUGGCAAGAGGUGAAGCAUGUGAUUCUACACGUCAUUCUAGUCGGUUACACAUAUAGCUCAUCUCCGACGGAGUUACGGCCUACAAGAUACGGGCAACGCAAGAUAUUAUGCCAUGAAUACAACAUGCAUGCAAUUUUAUUAAACACUGGCAAGAAGGAUAUGAAGCAUGUGUCACCAUGAGGAAAGAAAGAAGACCAUGGGGCAAAGCGGAAACGAUGCCACGGCAACAUUCCGGUCCCGAUAACUCGACGAGAUAUCAGUACCAACGAAUUUUGAGCGUGUGCAUGUCAUGCCAAAGAAUGAUGGGGUGAUCCCGGUAACCAGGUUCCCAUGUGUCGGGGCACGACAAAAGAGGGACAACGUGCAACGAGCAAUCAUAUAUGGUGCAAGGAUACGGUUCAACUCAUACAUCACAUGUAUUCGGUCCACGGCAUCGUCCCAACGGUUAUACCUUUGAAGCGUGCAUUUCGGAGCGGAUCGAGGUUCGUCGAGGGAAGUAGUCGUACACGUGUCGUCGUGGACGUCGUUGAAGUAGUCGUACACGCAUCUUCGGUGAUGGUAGUUGUACACGGUUGGUGACGAACUUGACGUAUCCACGAUCUUCGGAGGUCGACGGUAGUGGUUCCCGUAGUUGUUCACGUGUCAAAUCGUUGGCCUUGAUGAAUCGGAAGGGAUACUUGGCGAUCCAAGGGUGCUCAUGUUCAAGGAGGUCUCGGUUCCGGUGAUGGCAGCAAAGGAACAUGGUCGUCUUGCACUUGCGUGAACCAAAUCGAAAUGACACAAAAAAUUACGGGUGACGCAUCCAAAUGGCCAACCUAAACCAGUUGCAUCUGAGGGCAGCAAGGAGCCACGACAAAGGUCAGCGACAACAACAACACACAGGAGUGGCAACAGCAUGCUAUAGCAACAGCAGGCGGUAGAAGCAGCAAACAGUGGAUGUUGGAGGAAGCAAAGGGCUCGGGCAGCUUGUGUGCAGGGGAGAAAACGGCGCAGCCUAGGCGCUGGCAGCUGUGAGGAGGCGGGCAACAUCGCAUGGGUUCUCGAUAGAGGCCAAUGCCAUGGGAGGCGGGAGGCGGUCGAGCGCCAUGGCUGGGAAGGAGGGGCUCGAGGCGAGCUCCUCAUGGCUGGCGGGGCAGCGGGCGAGACCGAGCUGGGCCGUCUCCUAGGAGACGCUGCGUCAACGCUCGCUCGAGAGCGACCACGAGGGGUUGCUCUCAUUCUCCACGAAGCAAAACGAAGGCGGCACGACCCCUCGUCGGAUUGGGAGCAGGACGCAGAGGGGCGACAAAUCCUCGCCGGAUCUGGAGGUGGGCGAUUUAGCGGACCAAAUCCGAGGCGGAGCAGCAACGCAUGACGGCGAACGAAGCUACGGCACGGCUGGCGGAGCUUGCGGGCCGACCAUGACAGCGAGCGAAGCAGGGGACAUGGCGGCGACAGGCGAUGAACUUGGUGCUGGCAGGGAGCUUGGGGCGGAGGCGACCUCGAGGCCGGCAACGGAGUAGUCUGCGGGGCUGCGUCGACCGGCGAGCGCGCUGCUGCGACAGCGGGCACGGCGGCGAGGCCUGGGCGUGAUGAGGGCGGCUGUUGUAGAUGCGUGGGGACGAGGAGCAUCUCCUCGACGCAGAGGAGGCACAUGCGACUGCGGGUGCGGCUAUGUGUUGCGGGUGUGACGAGGCUCUCGGGCCCUGGCUGCUCGAGAGAAGAUGGGCGCUUGCGCGGCUGCGGUUGGCUGGGCUGGAUCGGGCAGGGGCGGCACUGGUUGGGCAGAUGGGAUCUAGGAGGAUCCCGAGGAGGGACAAAGGGGGCGGCGGCGCUGCGGGGUUAGGGUAGGCUAGGUCUAGGGUUAGGUCAAGGUUUGUCGAAAAUGGACUAGAGGCACACUAUAUAUAGCACGAUGGUUAGUUUUAGGGGCAUGUGGACCCUCUGAUUUAGAUCGGGUGGUCGAGAUAAUUAGGUUAGGAAGUCCACUCAAGAAACCGAUGACGCUUUGCAGUAAAACGGGGUUGAUCUAAACCCAACGGUCAAGACUGUCUGAUUCGUUCUGGGGGAAGUCUCGGGCUAGGUUGCGCGUAGGGUCGGUGCACUGUGCGAAGGGGCUAGGCAUAGAAGAGCGAAGGGGCUAGGCAUAGAAGAGAGGGAAAACGUACACCCGGCAUGAGGUUUUUAAAACACCAAAACGUCCAACAUUUGACCGGCUAUAGUGUCGCUAUAGGUUUAACGGUUCGGAUUCGAACGAACUCCGAUUGCGAUGAAACUUGGCAGGCGGUCUACCUAUAACUAAAUAAGAUCACACGCCAACUUUCAACCCAUUCAGAAAAUGUUUUAUACACACUUUUAAAAAUAAUAUUUAAAUGAUGUCGCGGGCGCGUGUGUGUGGUUGGUCUCAAAACGGUCAACGACAAAAGGAGAGAACCGACAACUACUAAUGGAUGCAAGUUUUGAAAACUGGCGACAACGAAGUGCCGAUGCAAUGCAGAUGAUGCGCAUGAUGCGAUGAUGAAUGCGACAAAUAAAAUAAUCACACUGUGGCAACCGAAUAAAAGGAGAAUCUUUUGGAGCGUCGGUCUCGGGCUGUUACAGUUACCUUCAGGUGAACUUACACCGGUGUGAUAUUAACCUUCUUUAUUGGGGACUGGUUAUCUUCCUAUGCAAUCACAUUCGUUCUGCGUACUUGACAAUCUGCAAGUUUCUCAUCCGUCUUAUUCAAGUCUUGGUACGCCAGCGCUUCUAGGCGCCUACACUAUACCACAUGCUUCGGUAUGCAGAUUCCAUGCGAAACUCUCGUGGUCAAACUGGUGAUUUUAGGAAAUCGAUAUGUGUCAACAGAUUGAUCUCUCGACGUCUUCAUCCAUCUCCAAUGAUCGACAUGUGUUUGUGUGUGGGCCUACCCAUCGCUAUCCACAGCUAGCCUUAUCUCUUCAUUCGAUGAAGCUAGUCCACACUUUCUCUCUGCCAAGUCUUUCUUUCCUCUGUUCUUCGUCCGCCUUCUCUCCUUUGCUCCUCAUGUCUCCACCAUCGCUCGUCGGUGCUAUCAAAAAACACCACCGAUGUUGCCCCCGUGCGCGGGGAUGGUGGUGCCGCCGUUGUCUCUGCUGUAAAAUCCGCUUUCUUGCAAACUCGAGGGGCGGGGCAAAAUCGAUGGUGCAUCCAUCCUGCGGCGAGUAGCGGUCGGGUACUCGCUGGCGAUAGUUCUUCAAAGCAACACAAGAUGGGUGAGGGAGUCACAUGUUGCGAUGGUCAUAGUGCUGGAAGCAUUGAAUUGUACGACAGCGAUGAGAUCUUGGCGCCAACAUCAUUGUUGCAUUCCCUCGCCACAUUAUCCUUCAUGGAGUCGUCGGUGCUACACCAGACUCCGACCAGACUUACAACGGCAACGAGGUCUCAAUGCCAACAUCAUUGUAGCAGUCCAGCUCGUUGACGAUGCCACAAUGCAACUACGGAGGGGAUUGUGUGCUUGGAAGGAUGACGAUGCCACAAUGCAACUACGGAGGGGGUUGUGUGCUUGGAAGGAUGACGAUGCCACAGUGCAACUACGGAGGGGGUUGUGUGCUUGGAAUGAUAUAAUGGUGCCGAUUCAUACGAUGGUUGGGCCACCGAUGUCCGAUGAAGCAUCGCCGUGGCACUAGUGUUGCGGUGAAGCAUCAUCAAAGCUGAUGGUGCUUCGUUGAAGCAUCGUCGGCACUGCAAUGUAGCAUGCACGUCACAACACUGGCGAUGCCUUGCAAUGUCCGUCAAAGCUCGCCGGAGCUGUGAUGUGCCGCUCGUCAGUGCUGCUAUGCAGCAGCGUGCAUGCCGUUGUAGAGAGGCUGCUCGGUGCUGCGUUGGAGGCAGGAGUGGCGGCAGUGCUGCACUGCAUCAAUGGUGAGGGCUGUGCUGCUACACUGCAUCAAUGAUGGCUGAUGAUGCUGCAAAGUAGCAUCCAUGGCGUCUCCGACAACACGAGACGGUGGCUAGCAUCGCUGCUGUACAGCUGGGCAUUUCUUGGCGUAGAUGGAAGAAAAAAGGAAGAGAGACGCGCUGCACACCUGUUGGAUCGAACGACUAUAUGGACUUGAAUUGGACGGCUGAGCAAGCGGUUGAUCUUUCCUCAAGAUCAAUCGGCUGAUUUCUAGCAGCCCGGUGGUUUUUAGUUCUGGUGAAAAUGAACAAAACUUCUCUUUUCUAAAACUUUAACACAAAAUAAACCUAAUCUAAAAACUUUAACACAAACUGGACCGCACAAAAAAAGGGUCCCUUUUUGCACGACACCCCAGGCAAAAAGGGCAUUUUGUGAAAUAUUUUCUCUAUAUGCACCUGAAAAAUAUUAAGAAACUGUCAUUGAACAAUCUAAGAUAUUUAUUGAUAUGGAACAAAAGUUUAUAUAUAAAAACCCAGACGACUUGGACAUACUCCCCCCGACCCAAAAUGAAUGUCUCGUAUAAAGCUGAGACAAUUAUUUUGGGGCGAAGGGAAUACAAAGUAGGCCGCUGCUUCCAUACUUCGUCCAUGGAUGCUUCGGACACUCCAUUUGCUUGCUUGCAUAUUUGGACACUCCACUUGCUUGCUUGCAUAUUUGGACACGCCACUUGCUUGCUUGCAUAUUUGGACAAGGGAUGCUUCGAACGCCACUUGCAAAGAGAUUAACCCUAAACCAUCAGAACCAACGACAGCAUGUCUCUCCAAACAUAUAUGGGCUCCCAGUGCAAUCUGCAUUCUGCAAGAUGAAAGAAAAACAAGAACCAUGUGGUGACCCAUACCAUACAACCAAAUGCACAAAAGGGGGACAAUUAUAUGGUCCAGCAACGAUACAAGUUCCCAGUUAUAAAUGUUUAUGGUCCAUGUAUAAUAUCCUGAUGAACAAGCGCGGCAAACCGAAAACAAAGCAAAGCUAGUGCCAUCAAUGUUUCACAGAAUUUAUUCUUCCACCUCUGGACAUCUAAACACGAACGUCCGCCGGAUGCGUCUCCUCAGGCAGGCAAAGAUCGCUCCUAGUUAGUUCCCUCGGGCUUCU
Molecule: long non-coding RNA, 76325 nt
Filed under: Hordeum vulgare
Lineage: Eukaryota; Viridiplantae; Streptophyta; Magnoliopsida; Poales; Poaceae
Description: long non-coding RNA (HVUL_LNC018740)
Source: RNAcentral